RNAcentral lists this long non-coding RNA (60355 nucleotides) under Triticum aestivum (bread wheat). RNAcentral describes it as "long non-coding RNA (TAES_LNC005279)". The record is from RNAcentral. Lineage: Eukaryota; Viridiplantae; Streptophyta; Magnoliopsida; Poales; Poaceae.
CAAGAUGUUGAGAUCCAUCUUACCUCGCACGACAGUGGCGAAUGACUACAACUGGAGUCAUUGGACUGCAAUGGUGGGGUUGAGCUGGAGGAUGCAAUGGCGGCGGCGACAUGCACAUCAGUGCCGAGCAAAAUAAUGUGCCCAUUUUUGUUUUCCUGCAUUAGAAAAUGUUUUGCAAGAGAUUCCAGAUGCUACAACUAGUUCUCAUUAAAUUGGAGGAUACAAAAUCAAAUUCCCAAUACAAAUACAUUUUUAAUCUGGAACUAACAGAGGUUACAACAGAGAACAAUCCCUGGUUUCUCAAAUUGGAAUUCAUGCCCUUUUUAUGUCAUCGUUACAAACUAGACUUCUUUUUUUCUAAUAAGAACACACACUAUAAAGGAAAAAUAGAAAUUUCUUUUGCCAUCCUUGGUGGAGCACAUAACGGCAGGUGCAACAAGUUCAGAGUGUGCAAGUAGAAAGGAAGAGGUUCAGAGAAAAAGACUGACACUUGGUCAUGCUGCGGAGGCGUCCUGUAGUCCAUACUUGUCUGGAGCAGCAGUAAUGAGGACGGAACUAGAGAAGGCCAACGGAAAUUUUGCAAAUAACACUCCUCGCCACAUCACAUAAUUUGAUCUCCUCCAGUACCUGCUACUACUACUCCUCCUUGUUGGAUUUGGGCACGGCCAACCUGACGACCAACAACAACAGUAGCACAGGUGGGUCUAAUUUUCCAUUAACAACCACUGUCAUACGCUGACCAUUGGAGGACAAGUCGUGGCUGUGCACGAGAGAUGCAGAGGGACCAAGGGGAGCAUGGAGUGGAUGAGGUAGGAGGGGCUGAGAACAGCAUCAUCGACAGCGGGGCUGACUAAGACGACCUGCGGAGGCGUCGGACGGCGGAGAGACGAGGCUGGAAGCUCGAACGGCGCGCGAUGACCAGCUCAGAGGCGGUGCAUGGGAGAAGGCAGGCUGCAGGGGUGGCGCACGGCGCCCGGUGCGCAAGUGACCCGAGAAAGGAGGCGGGAUACAGGGUUGACCCACGGUGAGGUGGGAGGAGCUGGAAGUCCAGAUCAGGGUCUCGGCGUGGUUCGCCAUGGGGAUCCAUGGUGAUGUAUGGUGACUCGCUUGGGGGAGGGAGGUUGGAGCGCCGGCAUCAUCUAGGAGAGGCGAGUGGUGGAAUGAGGAGGGCGCGAGCUCGGGAACGGCGGCGGCGGGCGAGCUCAAGAACAACUACGGUGGCGCACUAGCUCAGGAACGGCGGCACGCACGAGCACAGGUGCCGGCAACGCGUGGAGGUGUGUGGAUCCUGGUGGCGGCGUUGGUGAGAAGUUGGCGGUGUGGGGAGGUGGGUCGCGGCGGCGGUGGUGCGCAGGCGGCAGCGCAGGGAUGUGGCGGCGCGGCGCACGGGGCUGCUUGGGUGCAGCGGCGAGGAUCUGGGAGGUCGCCGCGGCAAUGGCGGAUCUGGGGGGAUAAGAUGAGGCGUUUUUUUGUUUUGGGAAGUUCGGGAGGGCCCGACAGGGCCCUAUAUUGUGCAUUGUGAUCGAAUAGUUAUUCUAAUCCCAGGAUUAGAAUAUCACUUGGGGGCUUGGUCAUAUUCGAAUCAUAGCUUAAACCCUCUUGAUAGGCGUAAGGCCACCAGGGAAAUCACUUGGGGGCUUGGUCGUAUUCGAACCAUAGCUUAAACCCUCUUGAUAGGCGUAAGGCCACCAGGGAAAUCACUUGGGGGCUUGGUCGUAUUCGAACCAUACCUUAAACCCUCUUGAUAGGCAUAAGGCCACCAGGGAAAUCACUUGGGGGCUUGGACAUAUUCGAACCACAGCUUAUACCUUCUUGGUAGGCGUAAGGCCACCAGGAUGAUCACUUGGGGGCUUUGGUCGUAUCCGUACCAUAGCUUAAACUCUCUUGAUCGGCACAAUGCCACAAUUAUGCCAAUUCAAAACCUCUUGAUUUUUUAGGUUUAUUUAAUUCCACUUAUCAUACUUUAUGGUUCUAAUGCACCGGUGUUCAUUAAACCGGCUUGGUUUUGACUAUAAGUCGCCAGUAACAUCUGAUACUUAUCAACACCCGGUCCAACUUUAUUUAUAAACCGGUAACAUCUGAUACUUAUCAAGGUUCCGGUUGUGGGUUAUAACCCUCAUUACACUAGUUUGGGGUGAUCAACCAUCAUAGGUAUGAUAUCUUUUAAUGAUUAUUAUUUCCACCAGCUUUGAUUAUAAAUCAUGAUAAAUUCAUGUUGGGGCAGUAUAAUCCGUCUUGCGGUAAACCGCCAGGACAUUUUUUCUCUGUUGUAUGAAGGAACAGCUUUAGGAUGAAUAAUAUCAUCAGGCAUACAUGGCGUGUCUUCACAUAACGAUAAAGAAGUAUCAUUGAAACAACCAAAUAUGCACGAGGGAGUAUUAAAGCAAAAGGUUUGAAGCUAGCCCAUUACAAGGCAUUUUGAGCCCAAAAGAUAAUGGUUUUUAAGUCUCAAAUAGCAGCUGAUAAACCGACCCCGGCUCAUGAAUCCUGACCCGGCUGACUGGAUGGUUGCGCCUCACCCCUUGCCGGUUCGUCUUCCUCCACCAUCUGGAAAUUGGGUUUGGACCAGUCAAAGCCAUGAAGGGCGACAAAUUCAGACUCAUCAUCAAUCAGACCAGACGGGUCAAUCUCAGGGGCAAAAGUGUGCUUACGAAUCGGCAGGAUUAAGUCCAUCACUUUAUAGGAAGGAGUCGCCAUCUUCUUAUUGUCUGCAUCAAAACCCGGCUGAUACUUAGUGAGGUUGGUUUCUUAACCGAUAAUGGUAGCACGAGGACGCGUUUCCUUGACACAAGCAGCAAAAUCUUCUUGGUUGAAAGGUGUUCCAUCUUCUUUAAAGCUGGGGGUAUCCUUUAGCCACGUCUGCCGGGUCUAAUUCUGGCACCCAGGCUUUAGCAGAGCAUAAAGUUGUUACAGCUCCAGCUCUCGCGCAUGAUCGCUUGAUUUCUUGGAACCGGCUGGGCAAGAUAGACAGCUUCUUCAAGAUGUCACUUAAUAGAGUCGGUCAUUGAUUCACGGGGGAGAUAGGGGCAAGUGUCUGUUGAGCUCCGGUGUACAACUGUUCAACCAACGUGUAAACCACCUUCAGCUUUACUAUGGUAUCCCGGUUCAGAUUGCUGCUCUUGGGACCUGAAAAUAUCAUACAAUGAGUUAAGUGGCGGCUUAUAAUGGAAUAUAUUUAUUUGAAGUAUGUAACAAAGUGACUUACCGAAGAUUGCAGAAACCAUUUGAGACACACGGUUCUUUAAACCGGUGAGUUUAGCGGUGACUUCUCCUAGAGCCGCUUCAGCCUUCUCUGCACGAUGUGUUAAAACAAUCUUCUCAUUAGCCCAAGCUUAUUUUUCCACUGUGAAGUUGGUCUUCAAUUUUUCGGUCUCAGAAACACUCAACUGGAAUUUGGAUUCAGCCUUCUUUGUCUCUAUCUCUUGAGUCGCUAGUCGGGCCUUGGCCUCAACAGUUGGGAUUCUAGUUCUGUGGUUGCAACCUACAUACAUCAUAAUGUUGUUUCAGUUUCAUGGCGGAUUAUAAAAGAUAAGUCCCAAGUGUUUUGUCAACAAUAACACUUGGCACUUCGGGGCUAAUGUCUGUCAGCGCAAUUUUUUUCAAAGGAAACAAUUUUUCUAAAAAGUCCCAAGUGUUUUGCAGGCAACAACACUCGACACUUGGGGGCUAAUGCAUAUUGCUUGACUUUUCUUUCUACAAGUGAGCCGUAUAAGCUGUCCACAGUCUCAGCCGGCUCAGGCAGGUUAUACGGUUUAGUUCAAUGCAAUAAUUAGUACGACCGGCUCAUUCAUACUGAUUAAACCGGCCCUUGGAGGCUAGUAGGCUAUAUAACUUAUAUGAGCCGGAGAACAUACCUCAUAUUUUUGAUGCAUCUGUUUGACCAUUUCAAUUUCUGAGUCAUGGCUAGAGUGCACUUGACUGAGAUAACCGGAUAGCACUUCACUAAUACUCAGGUGAGCAUAGUGGGAGACAUCCAACCUCACCUUUUGCCUCUACAUAACUUCUUGUUUGGCAGAGUGUCUUGCCAAGAUAGUUGGGUUCCCCAGUUCAACGAAUCUAGUGCUAGUGAUUAAAACAUCAACAUUGUGCUUCUCCGGCGGGUUAGCUGAGCUUGACGAAUCAAUACUAGAUGGAUCAAUAGUAGUUUCAUCUGUAGACUGCUCGGGUAAAUCAGGUUGAACGUUGAAGGCAAGGUCCUCUGGCCAUUUAGCGUGUUCGGGCAGAAAUGUUGACUGCUCCGGGUCUUCAAGAUGUUCUGGUACGAGGUUUGGCUACUCCGGUUCAGUGGUUCUCGGAUCCUCAGCCGGUUUUGUUACAUUUGCUUUCUUGGGCUUUGCUUGACCGCUAGAAAGGAUUAGACAAGUCAGUACAAUGAUACAUAUUUAAAGGUGUAUAAGAAGGGUAGUUAUCUUUACCCGGGGGCGGUCGUGAAAGCCGGAAAUUGCGUCUGUGAUGAAUCGCAGGAGGAGGAAUGGGAAAUCUCCUAUAAAUAUGGAAUCAAAAAGAAGUGAUGAAGGUAAUUCAUUGAAUAAAUACAAGGGUGAAAGUCAAAAAUGAACCUCAUUCUGGCGUUUCCAAGGAGAUUUUGGUAAGCCGAAGGGUAAAUCGUCAUCUCCACCGGCUGGGUCUGCCGGCGGCUUUCAUGUUGCUGUCGUUUAAAAAUAAAAUGAGGAUCUAAAUAAGCCAAGGGGUGUCAAAACCUUUCUUUCCGGGUUACCCGCCGAAGUUUCUGCCUUGGUAAAGGUUCUGAGUCGGUGGAAAUAAUAUUUACCUCUUCUUCAACUGCCUGGCUGGCCCCCGUGUCAUCCUGGUAAUAGUCAAUGUCAAUAAGGUGGUUAAAAAGCAUGCCAAGAGAGUCAAGGGCUACCUCCGACUCAGAGGUGUCAUCCAGCUUGAGUAACUCAGAGGCGGUUGGCUUCUUCUUCUUCGAUUUUCUGACGAUUUUCUUGGUGGCUAUCGCAACAACUCUAGCUUUCUUGGUAGCCUCAUGGUCAUACUUGACUUUCCAAAAGUCAGAUUUAGCCCGUGGAAGGGUAGCAUGUUGAAAUUCAUGCAAAUAUUUAAACUGCUGAAGUAAAAGAAGUCAAAGGAUUUACCUCUGGUGCCGGGUUAAGCUUGCAAAAAGGAUUUAACCCCACUAUGCUACAUCUUCAUACUUGCUGUUGACAAGAGUAGUUGCCAUUUCCGCAAUGGCUUCUUCCGUCAGACGCAGGGAACUAUGACGUAAUGGAUCAUCUAUUUCUCUGGUGUAGUUACACAUCAAGCCGGAUCGACGGCUCAGAGGGAUGAUCCGCCAUGCGACCCAACAGUGGAUCAAGUCAACUCUAGUUAACCCAUUUCCAAGUAAGGCUUGAACUUUUUGGAUUGUGGGGACAAGUUUCUUGCAUUCAGCGGAAGAAAGCUUAUCAGGAAGUUGAUACUUGGCGUCAAGACGUUCAGCACGGUAACCCGGCAUUGGGUUUUCAUCAGACGGUGAGGAAUCCUUGCAAUAAAACCAUGUCUGAUUCCAAUCCUUAGGAUGGCUUGGCAGAACUACAAAAGGGAAGAUGGCAUCCCAUCUACGUUGAAUUGAAAUCCCGCCAAGUUCUAAGCUGGGACCAUUGGUGUAUUCGUUCUGGCGGUUCAGGUAGAAAUAUUCUCUAAAAAGCUCCACCAAAGGUUCUUCUUGAAGAUAAACCUCACAGAAAACUUGGAAGUUGCAGAUAUUUGAUAUGGAAUUGGGUCCGAUAUCUUGCGGGUGAAGCUUGAAAAAAUGCAAAUCAUCUCUAAAGAAUUUUGAGCCGGGUGGUGAGAAGCCCCUGUUCAUGUGAUCAGUGAAAACAAUAAUUUCACGGUCCUUCGGCUGAGGUUUCACUUCAGCCGGGUCAGGAGCAUGGUAAGACAUGACACUUUUUCCGGUAAGUAUCCAACAAUGACAAAGUCUUUCAAAGUACUUUCGGUGACUGUGGAAGGGACCCAGUUGCAAGUGGUCAUCGUCUUUGGAGGCAUGAUGAAAUGACAAUCUAAAAGAAAUAAUUUGCCGGAUCAAGUUAGUUAGUGGGACUGCAAAUCAACAACUACAGAGCUUGUUUUAAGCAAGGGCUAAUGAUAUAUGAGGUACAGGUAAGCCGGGAGAGUAAGCCGCCAUGGUUAAGAUAUUCAAGAAUGACCAAAAACAAGAUUUGCUAAAUACUGAGAUAAACAAGUUCCACAUUUGGAGGUUAUAAAUUUGGAUUUACUGCCGUUCAGGAAAAGGGGAUAAAUUCAUCUAUAAAAGGCGACAGUGGAAAAAUAGAGAAGCCCUAGAGGAGAUUUUCCACGGCGGGGAUGUGAUCUAGUAUUAAAACAAGUGCUAAAACUACCACCGCGCAAGCUUUCCAUAUAUUUUGGAUCUAAUACGUGGAUCUAAAUAAAGGAAAAGGAGGAGGAGGAUGAAUGCAGAUGAACACCGAAGAACACCGAUGAAACCCUAAUGGCGAGAUUAGUGAUGAACAGAGGAAGACUUACUGGGGAUGUAAGAGCAGUGGAGUUGCACCGCAGUUCUCUGGUUUUCUCAGGGCGAUGCAGCGGCUGGAGUCGAGGACGAGGACAGAGGUCGACGGCGGCAGGGCUCGUACUAGGACGGCGCUCUGUGAGGAAGGAAGGAGACGGAGAAGAAUGGAAGAUGGCUUUCGGGUCCUAUUUAUAAGGAGACAGAAACAGGCAGGCACGAAAGACGAGGAUGCCAAAUGAUAGUUAUCCAGCUAAUUGGGUGCCUCGAUUUUCGGGAAGACAUUAAGAUAAAGAUCUGUUAAGAUGGCGUCGGGCGGGUUUCCAAAAAUCUAGGAGAUGACGUCAUGGCGGGUUACAAGUUUUCGCAGCGGGAAUGAGAGGAUUUUUUCUAAGUAUUCAAGGUUGACAUGAACGAGUCCAAAUCAACCUGGGCCUAAUGUUGGGGAUAUGAUUAUUAGGUAUGACCCGCCCAGGAGGGGCCGGGUCAACCCUAUGAAGAUUCAUCACAAUGAAGCCCAAGGUCACCUGUCGAUUCAUAGAUAGGCUUAGUAGAGGGCCCAGACCCAAAGGCGGCUUAAAUCCCACGAGUAUGAACCGCCAUAUAUGUAAAAUUGUACUGUAAGGCAUGUGUAAAAGGUCACCGAGCCGGAUACAUUGUAUAAGCCGGCCGGGACUUUGAGGGCCGCAGGGCAUCUUCCUGUGUAUAUAAGGGGACGACCUAGCGGCGGCUUAGGGCAAGAAACAACAGAUCGAGAGCCGGGUCAAGCAUAUUCGCUCCUUGCUCGUCGAAACCCUAGCAAUACCAACUACAAACUGGACUAGGCUUUUACCUUCAUCGUAAGGGGCCGAACCAGUAUAAACUCUCCGUGUCCUUUGUCCUGUUUAACCCCUUUUAAGUUAACCUCAACGCGAUGGCUCCAUGACUAAGUCCUCAAACUAGGACAUCUGCCGUGACGAUUCCACAACAGUCACGGAACUCGCAAGUUGAUCACCAAACAUACAUCAAGUGGGUCAUGUGAAUAUCCCAUUGUCACCACAUAUAAGCACAUGCAAGACAUACAUCAAGUGUUCUCAAAUCCUUAAAUACUCAAUCCGAUAGGAUAACUUCAAAGGGAAAACUCAAUCCAUUACAAGAGAGUAGAGGGGGAGAAACAUCAUAAGAUCCAACUAUAAUAGCAAAGCUCGCGAUACGCCAAGAUUGUGCUAAGUCAAGAACACGAGAGAGAGAGAGAGAGAGAGAUCAAACACAUAGCUACUGGUACAUACCCUCAGCCCCGAGGGUGAACUACCCCCUCCUCGUCAUGGAGAGCGCCGGGAUGAUGAAGAUGGCCACUGUUGAUGGAUCCCCCCUCCGGCAGGGUGCCGGAAUGGGGUCCCGAUUGUUUUUUGGUGGCUAUAGAGGCUUGCGGCGGCGGAACUCCUAAUCUGGGUUAUUUUCUGGAGGUUUCAGUAUUUAUAGGAAUUUUUGGCGUCAGGAACAAGUCAGGAAGGUGCCCGAGUCGUCUACGAGAAAGGGCAGCGCGCCCGGGGGGUAGGGCGCGCCCCCACCCUCAUGGACGGUCGGGACUCUUCUGGCCCAACUCUUUUACUCUGGGGCUUCUUUUGGUCCAUACAAAAUCAUCAAAAAUUGGCACAUCAAUUGGACUCCGUUUGGUAUUCCUUUUCUGUAAGAGUUAAUUACACUUUUAAUACAUGAACUUGCAUGACGGAUACAAAUUCAUACAUAAAGUUGAAAAAUGUCAUAAAGUAGUACAACAACUUGCGUUUGAGGUAUAUUUACAUACAUUUCGGAUCCCAGGCCAUUAUCUCUCAAACCAAAGACAACACAACAUUGACCUAGAAAGGCUAGCCAGUCCACCAACCGUUACUUGUUGUUUAAUUAGUCAUAAUCUCCUUAUAUCAUCGACAUAAUUGUUCUUGUUCUUUCUCCAUAUAAUUUUUGAAACCAAAUUGGCAUGCCUGUCGGUUCACAUUUCUACAGCCGUACUGCCCGUUUACUGGUUCCUCAGCUAUUUUUUAGGCACUAUAAUUUAGGAUGUAUUCUUUACUAAGAGCAUCUAUAGCCAGACCCUCCAUACCUGCCCUAGAUGCCCCGAUGGGCUGCCUGAUCAUUGUCUGGACCAAAAAACGCCACCCAACCGGGCUACCCGUAUUCGGCCUAAACGUCCGGACUUACCGAUACUCUCCAUAUCCCGCCAUAUAUGGGGCGAAUAUGGGAGUCCCGGAAGCGCCUGAGCACGCCCGCCACGUAGGACUGACCGCUGGUGUCCGUGGCAAUUUGGUCAUAUCAGCUUCCCCUGUCCUUGCUUGAGCAACACUCUUCUCUUCUCUAUUCACCCUCCUCCGCAUUAUCAUCACCAGACUUCCGCCGGCAUCGGUGCUCCGCCGCCAUCCCAACUCAGGGCUUCACGACCAGACGCCCCAACCCACACUGCCGCCGACCAGGUCGCCAUCGGACAAGGUUGCCGCCACCGGACGGCUUCCCGGUAUGUCAAACUCCCCCAUAUUUUCACCCCGCGCUCUAUGUGUUCGAUGAAAUGUCUAAGCUGAUUUUUGAUUCUUUUGGUCAUUACUUCCAUUUCACCAAUGGAUUCGGCAUGUAAAUCAAUAAACUUUGCAAAUAUCCUUGGACAACUUGGUUUUUCCCCCGGUUUGUUAAAAAAUACUUCUGGUUUAGUGGGCUAGUAAGCCAAACAAUUACUUGAAAGUAAAGUAUCACUUGCGUGUAGUGCAUAGUUUUUUAUUCAGAUCAAUUGUACCUCUAAAAGAUAUAUAAAAUCACUAUAUACAUCUGAACCAGUAAUAAUAUGUAGCUCACUGGUUAGUCGAUCACCGCUUGCCGCAAACUCUCGAGUUCUAGUCCUGCGGGAGCAACGCGUCUUUAUUUUUCUUCCUCUUUUCCCACUUACAGGUGGGCCCCACACUUAGAGACCACAUGGAUUUAACAUGGAGAUAUCCUAAAAAAUGUUAACUGGGAGAUAACAUCCAUGGACGGAAAUGUAUGUAAAUGUACUUCAAACAUAAGUUGUUGGACUAAUUUGUGUCAUUUUUUAACUUUAUGUAUGAAUUUGUACGCUCCGUGCAAAUUUAUGUACUAAAAGUGUUAUUAACUCUUUCUGUAAAACUCAAAAACAAGGAAAAACAGAAACUGACACUGGGCUCUAGGUUAAUAGGUUAGUUCCAAAAAUCAUAUAAAAUAGCAUAUAAAUGCAUAUAAAACAUCCUAGAUGGAUAAUAUAAUAGCAUGGAACAAUCAAAAAUUAUAGAUACGUUGGAGACGUAUCAGAGACGUAUCAGCAUGGUGUCACGUCAUAUAUGUCAUGGUAACAACAUUUUCCAAUUUGGGCCAAGCUUUAUUACAAACCUCUUACAAAAACUGGAGCUUCUCUCAAAGAAGCCUCGUGGUUCUGAUAGGGAAAUGUGUCCCCCUUGUGGGCGAAACGUAAUAACUGCCUCUUUUCGCCUUGUAUUUUCUUCUACGGGCAACAUGGAAUGACAGGAUAUCUGUGUUGAAAUUUAAACGAUAUUCGUUGCGUAUUCUCGCCUUGAACUUUGUUUUUUAUAGGCAACAUAGAAUAACAGGACUGUCGGGCUAAAAUUUGAAACUGUUCAGGGUUCGUUUGGCCAUUGUGUGUGUGUAUAUAUAAUAUUUUGAAUAAUAUUAUGAUCACAACCUGACCUACCCCGCUAGUAGUACGUUGAACUUCCCUGUGAACUAGGUUGAACUUCCGCCAACAUUGCCCAAAUGGGGCUUGCGAUAUACCGUUGGAAAGCUAUGGACCCCAAUAUCAUGACCCAACUUAAAUUUUUGGCAAAAUAUAAGUGGUUUAAGAGCAGCUUUGAAAACCGUUAAUUCUUCGCACAAAAAACAUGAAUCGUAUUUUCGAUCGCAUUUCUAAACCGUUUUUUGGAAUGAGGCAUAUAAUAUGGCGUUGGAAAGCUGCUGCAAAACCGCUCCUUCCACAUGUUGAAAGUUUUUCUCUAAUUCCCUAUGGUUAAAGAGUAAUUUGAAAAAACGUAAAAUUUCGUAAACCAAACAGCUGAGUUCGUUUUUUCGAUGACAUUUCUAAAUGGCUAAUCCAGUGGAGGCAUAUGAUAUGGCUUUGGAAAGCUUAUGAAAAUGCGCUACUUUUUCAUCUUGAAAGCUUUUUUCUAAUUUUGAAUGGUUUAAGAGUAAUUUAGAAAAUGGUCCAAGUCCUACCGAGUUCGUAUUUUCGAGCUAAUUUUUUAACCGUGCUUCCAAAUGCAUCAAAUGAUAUGGCGUUGGAAAGCUUGAACAAAUGCGAAACUUUUUGGUAUGUAUUAUUUCUCCAAAUUCUUUACGGUUUUAAGUCAGUUUUGAAAAUGACGAAAAACAUUUUUUUGCUGUAAUUUCUACGAACUUUACCGGAAUGGGGCAAAUAAUAUAAUGCUAAAAAGCUAGGGAAAAUGCGAAACUUUUUCAUGUUUAUGGUUUUCUCUGAUUCCUAGCCGUUUUCAAGUAAUUUCGAAAACGGCUGGAUCUUGCGUUCUGCCUUUAUCGCGAAACAGAUUCUUCGAAAAUGCACCGUGUGAAGAACCUGAACUUCUUGGCGCGUGUACCUGAACUUCACUCUGUUUUUCACGUGAAUUUUUUGCUCGUAGGUCUCCAUCCACUUCUCGUAACUCUCCAUCCACUCACCGGAAUUGAGCAAGUGAUAUACCAGUGGAAAGCUGUUGUAAGCACAUAACUUUCCCGUGGUGAUCAUUUUUCAUACUCGUGAUGAUUUUAAAAGUUUUUCAUCUGAAAUUCAUUUGGCGUAGUAGUUGAACUUCAUACUGUUUUUACGUUGAACUUCUGUGACGUAUUUUCGUUUGUAAUUUUCUCAUCCAUUCGUCAGUGUUACACAAAUGAUAUUCUUGUUGUACAAACCUCUCUCACAAUAAUUUUUUUAACUUUCUCCGACGGAGUACUUGAACUUAUAACGAGAACAAAUUUAGCCUUUUCAUUUUUAUUCUUUUUAAUACAAAAUGCACAUCGUGUAGAACAUGAACUUCUCAUAGUUUAUCAACCUGAACUUCUCUCGGUUACGUGCAAAUAUCUAAGUUUUUUAUAAAUAUUAAUCUGAAUUUCUUAAUCCUUUUUUUGUGAAUUUUAAAGCGCUCCAUUUUUAAAAGUUGAACUUCUUGUUAUUUUAUUUUUGAACUUCUUAUUUCCAUUCUUUAAUAACGAGAAAAAUCUGAGUUUUCUAUAAUCAUCAAACUUCUCCAUAUUUUUAAUAUGGACUUCCUGGUUUUAUUUUCUUAAUUUUUUAUGAAACUUUGAACUGUUGUAUUAUUAAAAGUUGAACUUCUUGUUUUCAUUCUUAACAAAUCUGAGUUUUUAUAUACUUUGAACUUCUCUGUUAUUUUGAAUUGAACUUCUUAGUCUUAUUCUUAGAAAAAUAUGUUUUCAAAGAAGCAUCAAACAUUUUUUUUAAAUCGAACCUCACACAUUUAUUGUUCCUAGGGAUGGAAAGAAUUUGAGUUUCCCGUAAACAUCAAACUACUCCUUUUAUUUUAAUUUGAACUUCUUUAAUUUUAUUCUUUAGUGAAAAAGAGAAAGCUAUUUUUUAUAAAUAUUGAACUUCUCUAUUUUUAUAAUUUGGACUUCAUGGUUUAUUUGAAAUACUUUCUUUUUCCAUUUGAACAUCUAAAUACACGGUGAACCUCUUUCAAAAGAAUUUUUGAACUUUCCCGGACCGAGCACUUGAACUUCUACCAACAAAACUUUUAGACUUUGCCCUUUUAUUGUAUUUUUCUAAUACGAAACACACACCAUGUAGUACGUGAACUUCUGACAGUUAUCGCUUUGGAUUUCUCUUUUGUUUCUCGUUAGCAAUUGAAAAAAUCUGAGAUUUUAUAGACAUCGGUCCGCUCUAACUUUUCACAAAACAAAAUUAUAGUUUUUUCCGCUUUCUAUGAUUUAAUUUUUUGUCUCGGGACAUUUUUAGGCAUUUUUUUGUUGUCAGUGAAAUGGCCUAGACGAACCUUUUUUUCAUUGAUGAUUUCCUUCAGUAUAUGGUACACGUGAACUUGUGAAUUUCUAAAACAUGAACUUCACAUUUAUAUCUAAAACAUGAAUUUCUAAAACAUAAUGGUUUAGCUUUUUAGAAAUAUACUUCGGGGCGUAUAUAAUCGUCAGUGUUGAAUUAUUUUGAAUACAAGCUCAAAUUAUUUUAAACUUCUUGGUUGUCCUUUUAGAAAGAUGGAUAACUAUUUUGAACUCCGUCGCUCGUUAUUUAAGUUUAACCUUUCAGAAUUAUUUUAUUUAGUAACGAUGAAACUCUUUUUUGAUAAACUUUUUUGAACUUCUCUAUUUUCAUUUUAACCUUCUUGGUUUUGUAAUACAUAUUGAACUUCUUCGUUUUUAAAAUUUGAACUUCUAGUUUUUAUUAUAAAUAGAUUCAACAUAUUACUUUUAUUCCUUUUUUGGAUAAGAGAAACAAAAAUUGUAUUGUACAGUGAGAAGUUCAUUUUUUUGCAGUGUGAAAAGUGGCAUUUUGUUGUAAAUUUGUUGUUGUUUUAUUUCUAUCUUUUUUUACAAAAUGAACAAUGCAUGUUUCGCUGGGAGAAAUGCACAAACAUUGAAUGUAUAAGGGAAAUUACUACAUGCUUAUGCAGGUGCAGAAAUCUGAAUUAUUUAGAGAAGGGAGAAACUCUGAAUUUGUAGCUCGAUAGAACCUGAACUUCUGCUUUCUUUGUGAUUUGGGAAUCUGGGUAAGUUAAUAUCAUUAAGGAGCAGCAACGGAAUAGUAUAUGUUUGUGUACAGAUCCAAGAGCAUAGCUUUCACAAAACUUGUAUGAAGAUUAUCUCCAAAGAAGCAGGGACCAGGGGACUAGUCGGUCGCAGGAGAUGCAUCAAUUGCAGAGUUGAAGCACGUAAAUGGAAAAAAAUCUAAGAAGUCCAAGUAUUGUUACAACAAGAGCACUACCCGAUGCAGUUGGAAUGGCUGCACACGCACGACGAUCUGGCCCCGAUCCAAAGGGAGUGGCCUUGAAAGAGGAGGCACACAACAGUGGGUACCAGAUCUCUCCAAUCCACACGGGCCACGAGGAUGAAUGAUGAGCUGACCACACAAAAGUAAAACUGAAAAAAAGUGUCCAUGGAUCCGGUACAUACAAUCUCCUAUGAGCUUUGAAUCUGAAGCAGGUCGGCAGGGUUACUGACCGUUGCGAGUGAGAGAGACCAUGGAUGGAUCCUCCAAAAGAGAAGAAUCCUGCAGUGCUCACCAUUUUGUUUACUGUCAGCUGCUGGUAGAUCCUGUCGGUGAGGCGACGAGGUCUCACCGGCGCUAAUUAAUCUUGAAACCCAUGCCGGUGAUCUUAAGUCUGCAUGAGUAUAUAAUUAGCGCCAGUGGGGAGAUAAAAGUUCAAGUACGCGUAAGCUAGCUUUGCUCCCCGCAGGGUGAACGCAUGGGGGAUCACGCGGAGGUGAAUGGAGGCCCGACAUGUGGCCUUGGACAGCCGAAUCAGAUAGAUACAAGGGCGGCGCUGGCGGGAGGUCCAUCCAACCACCACACGUAGGUGGCCUUGGACUGAGGUGAAGCAUCAAUGACGGAUCUGGCCCCAGCUCUGGCCGGUGAACUUCGUGCCGCGGCCCAAUCGACCUGCAGGAGCAUGGUGGGGAGACGUGCAUGGGAUCUCUCCCCGAUGGUGAUCCAGGGCGGCGCCGGCGCAGGUGUUCAGCAGCGGAUGGUUGGCCGGGCCUCGCUCGUCAGAAUUUCGGAGAUGGCAAUGGAUCCAAGAGGAAGGGCAGGAAGCGGUAGGAAGCGGGGUAAAGAGGAGGUGCUGGGGUGGGCGUCGACGGUGGGAGGCAUGCCGGAGCCGGAUGGGCGGUGGCCGGAGGUGGGCGGGCGGUUUGGUAGGGAGGAUUCGGGAGGCGACGCGGGAGGUGGGCGACGGGGGAUGGGGGAUGGGUGUUUUUUUCUUCGUUUGAAUGCUCCGAUCUCAGGAACACCUCAUCGCCCCUAUAUAUAGAGCGUUGUGAUCCAAAUAACUAUAUUACUAAUUACUUAGUUUUCUAUGCAUUUAAUGUAGUCCAUAAUUCAAAUUUGAACUACAACCACAUGCUCCAGUGAAGCAAAAUGGGUGGGAAAUCGUACAUGUGUCAUUGGGUGCAUGUUUAGGUCUCGUUUAAGGAAUGAGAAUGAAUUACAAACUUGUCGUCAUCCUGAAACAUUGAGAAUCUUAGUUUUUAAAUCCCAGUAAAUCAAAAAGUCACCCAAAAAACAAGAAACUUGGCAUGGUUUCAUGACAUGGCACAUAUAUGCCGUGGUAAAAAAUCAUCCAGUUUGAGAAGAGGCACACACAUUAGUAGCUAAUGAAGUCCUUUUUGAAACAAAAAGCUGACACGUUAAUAUCGCAAAUGAUUGUAUUACAUUUACCAUGUCGAAAUUUAACCAUACCCGGUGGCGUGCGUGCAGCUAUUUGAUUAGACGGGACGGGCGCGAGAAGUCCGCCGUGCAGGCUCGACAGGAUGCACGCGAGCAGUCCGCCGUGUCGUGGUACUAAGUUUGACAAUAGAAUGGGGGGUAGAUAUGAGGAGGAAAGAUCCUAGCGACGGUGAAGUUGUGCACGCAAGAUUUAUGAGUUCAGGCCCUUCCCAGAUGAAGUAACAGCCCAACGUCUCGGUCCCCAGAGGCUUGGUCGAUUGGAUUAUGCGUGAAGUUACAUAGGGUGCGAACCCUUGUCCCAGAGGAGGGGGGGUGGCUUAUAUCGAGUGCGCCAGGACCCCAGCCAUCCCCCGUUACACAAGGUUCAAUGUACAUAAAGAGAGGACGCGACUGGUAACGCCAACAUUAAAGUGAUAUAAAUGACCCUUAAGUCUACUGAGUGAAUGUCCGACCAUUGCCAUCCAAAGUAACCAUAGAUAUUCUGUACUCUGAGUGGUUCCUGAUGGUUGAAUGAUUAUAUCCUGGUCGAAUGGAAUUGAUUUAUCCGAGUGGAACUCAUGGUCGAGUGUGUUGCAUCUUGAGGUGAUUCCAGUCGGUAUAGUUUGCUGUCCUUUGAAUGUCUUUGACUAUAGGGCAGUGCCCUUGGGAAGGGUACUUAGAUCAGGUAUAUUGCCCUACCCCAGGUACAUGUCAUCGUCAUUAGCCCCCGAAUGGUUCUGGAUCCGAGCGGAGAUGGAGUUGAAGAUGGUUUCGACCCAAUCUUUGCGCCGCGGAAGCAUUUUACUUAGUUUGGAGAACCAUGCAACAACUUCGACUUCAUUUUUAGUUGCCUUGAGCCAUUCAGAGAUUAUUGAGUGAAUUUUGCUGAUAAGCUUCGACUGUUGAUACUGCAUAAAAUCUCCGGCGUGAUUGACUGCUCUGCCGUUUCCGGAUCUCACGGGAUUCGAAAUUUGGGGAAGCGCAUGGGGCGGAGAGGGCCAUAGUAAUCAGAGCGGAUUAGGCAAGGUGCCUCGAUCCUUGCGCCACCUUUUUCAUCACGUACUGCGCACGUGACUAUUAUGGGAUUUGACAGGAUCGCCUAGACCCACAAGUCAGCCACUCAGGGAGCCAACCCAUAUAAGGCGUUCGGGCCAGGGCCUUUGCACUAUGCGCCCCAUUUCCCUCUUCUUCCUCUGCUUCUCCACCGCAUCUGCUCUGCUCUUAGUGCCGCCACCCAGUCCAAGCUCAAUCGGCCGCAAUGGGGAAGGAUAGGAUGGUGACUCUGGAGCGCGUGAAGGGGGUGACAACCAAGGCGAAGGGGAAGAAGACAAGCCGGGCAGGGUCGUCAUCGAGAAUUGGCCUGCCGCCCGGCUGGAUCCAGGGCGACUGGAUCUGGUCGAUGAUCCAGUGAGAAGACAUGGAGGAUUUGAUGGACGGGGGCUUGAUUCCCCACAAAUCUUGGCGGCUUCUGGAGGACGAGACCGAGCCGUGACCGCAAGAGGGUGAGUGCGUCCUUCUUGCGACCCAUGUCGACCGCAGCUUCUCUUUGCCUCCCCACCCCUUCUUCCGGGGUUUCCUGAACUUUGUUGGAGCCCAACUUCAUCACUUUUCUCCCAACAACAUAACAUACCUUGCCGUAUACGUGUCCAUGUGUGAGAAAUUUCUGGGUUGGCGACCGCACUGGGCCUCUUCAAACACAUUUUCACCUGUCAUUCUCAGUCGGUAAAAAAGGCCAAUCCGAGUGAUGAGAGGACACACGUGAUCCAGAUGUGGAGAGGUCCAGGGAUCCAGAUGAGAAAUAAAAGCACUUUCCCCGCCAUGAUUUUUCCCGAGUCAGUCAGGGGGUGGCAAUCGACUUGGUUCUAUUGUAAGGACCAACCGACCCCAGGCCAGUCGACUGGCCUUCCCCCGUUUUCCAUAGAAUGAGUAGAGAAGCCUUCUCCUUUGAGAGUGACUCCGGCUGAAAAUGCAGAGGUGAAUAUGUUGGUUGAGCGAGUGGUCCAACUUGUCCGCGAUGGGGUGACUGGCAUGGACUUGCUAGAAGUUUUUCUCAGUCGACGCAUCCAGCCACUCCAAGCCCGUGAUCAUCCAAUGUGGAUGUACUCGGGUGUUGAAGACAGUACUCGGAUCCACCUAGAGGAUGUCGAUGAGGGGACAGUGGCGCAGUGGCUGCAAGGUAUUACUGGCAACAAAGACAACCCCGAGGGGUCUAGGAGGGUUCCUCCACUCGAAAACACCAUCGAACCUGACAAGGUCUUAUUCUUUCCUCCCAAGUGUAUCUUGCUCUAAUAUGUGUUUGGUCUUGAAACUGAUUGAUAUCCACUCAACCCCGUGUAUUGUAGAUCUACACUGAGAUGCACUCGAUGCCGAACGGAGAGCAGGAGGAUGAGGGAGAGGCGAGUGGAGGGGACAAUGGUGAGUGGCAUUCUGACAAGGGGAGACGAGGAGAGCGAGGACUUGAGCAGUGGUGAGGAGGUCGACUCCCCUCCUCGCAUGGAAAGACGCUCCAAGCAGAGGCAGGACCCGGCCAGUGUCCAUGGCAAAGCGACACCGUCGACUGAACAGACUUCCAAGCGCACAAGGACAUCUUCUCCUGCGCCGACUGAGAAAGCCCCGAAGCAACUCAAAGUCAUGCCGCCAAAACCCCGGAAGGACUUGCCCAAGAUCAAAGUGGACAUCUCUAUCGCUUCUGGGUAAUCACUGAGCUCGACCUCUUAUUUUUAGCGUGACCCGUUCUUUGGUCGAUUCACUUUCCUAUUUUAACCGAGUAAAUUCUGAAAUUUGCAGUGCUGCCGCUGGGACUUCAAUGUACCAAGAUGAUGAAGACGAGGAGAUGGAGGAUGCAGUCACCUCCCACGCGGGUAUAACUUUGGUAAUUUGGUCUUUACUUUAUUAGCCAUUUUGAUGGUUGACUGAACUCAUAUAACUGAUUGCUUUGCAGCUCCACCAAAUGUCAUUGAACUUCCAGAUGAUGACGAAGAUGUGGCACAGAGAGUCAUGGGGAGGAGGGGUAGGACUUAGAGAAAGAAGGCACCAGCUGGCGAGACGUCCCAGUAAACGCCGGUGAUGGAACCAGUGGUUCAGCAGUCCAGAGACGUGAACCAUGCUUCUGUUACUUUUCCUAUUCCAGUGUCAGCUGAACGCCCUUCCUCGUCGACUGCACAAGUCCCUGAUUCAUCUGUCCAGCACCACACCUCGGAUCCUCAAGCUGCCGUGACUGGACCCACGUCUCCACUGGUCAUCACCCAUCACGUCCCGGAAGACCAAGUAGGCGCUGCUUCAGAAGCAAUACGCCAAGCAGGCUUGAUGAUGGAGCGGAUGAAGACAAUGCACGAGACCAGCCAAGCCACCUAUGAUGCCAGUGCAGCCCUCCAAGCUAAUGUCCAGGUUAGUUGGUUUCCGACUGUUCUCCUAUCUUGACGCUUGUUCUGUUAGGAUAUGCUACCCGAAAAACUUGCAUUGUGCAUCCAUCUGUCAGUCUGUUCUUCACAUCUAUAUGCAUGCUGGGUGUUUCAAUUUAUGGUGAGUAGUCUUUCCAGUUGAGUCGACUAGGUUAUGUCAAUUGCAACUUUGGACUAGUGGGGGCACGCAGAGUGCACCCACUGGGUGUAGUCCCCGAGGCCGCUGUCGAAUGUAUGAUUUGGCAGGGGUCUUGAUGAAAAUAUCUUGUUGUUCAGUUCUUCCACUCGGUCUGGGCGGACCAUGUCAAGUGGAACCUGAACUAGUGGGGGCACGCUGAGUGCACCAACUGGGUGUAGUCCUCGAGACCGCGGUCGACUGCAGGCAGUCGGUUUGGGUCUGAGAAUAACUGUUGCCUCUUUUUUUACUCGGUUUGGGCGGACCAUGUCGAGUGGAACCUGGACCAGUGGGGGCACGCUAAGUGCACCCAGUGGGUGUAGUCCUCGGUACUACUGUUGAAUGUUUGAUUCUGCAGUAGUCUUAGAGUUCUUUUCACUCGGAAGCGAAUAAUCUUCGAUUCUGUCCGCUGAUGCAUCUUUUACUGACUUUAGAAAUCUUGUGAGCUCAUCUCCAAGUUUUCUGAAUUCAAGGAGAAGCAGAGACAGCUCAACCUUGAUCUGGAGUUGGCCAAGCAGAACUUGCAGAAGGCCAAAGACGAAACAGCUGGUAUGGAAGGUAACAACUUGUCGACUAUGUAAUUGGAUUGUUUCUCUAGUCGUCUCCUCAUUCUUCUCUCUGAACCGAGUGCUUGUUUGUUGUAUAUAUAUAUUUUUAGAGAAAAUGAGGCAGGCUCUGGCACAGAAGGAUCUUGAUCUUGCCGCAGCGCAGAAGGAGGCUCAGGAGAAAGCAACACUCGCCGAUAAGAAGCUAGCUUCAGUCGGGGCGCUCGAGGAAGACAACGCCAAUUUGAAGACAUCUCUUGCCAAGGCCAAUCGAUAAGUGACCCGUCUGAAGAAAGACAAGGUAGCUUUGAAUGAUAAGAUUGAAGGCAUUUCUCACAAGAGAAGUGACAUAGAGGGCUAUCUGGGAGCACUCACCAAGAAGAUAUUCCUUAUGCUUGAAGGUAUCUUUCCUUGUCCGACUGUUUUGCUGUCGUCGAGUCACCAUAAAUCGGCCGACUCAUUAUCUCUUUAUGGUUGCAGAAUUCUGUCAAAACAUUAAGGAAGAAACUGGGAGAAUCGAGACAAGCUUGGACCCCAUCAAUUCUCCUGUCAAUGAUGAAGCUGCUAUGAAUGUGCACCGACUGGAGUCCUGUCUUGCCAGCAUUACAGACUACCUCGCUCGCCUGAAGGUUGCGGUGUCGCGGAUCGACAUGGUGCUUUGGCCGAAGGAGACGCUCCAAAAUGACCUCGAAUCCUUGAUGACUCGACUCAAUGAGAUCCCUAGUCGAGUGUAGGAAUGGAAGAAGUCAUCUGCUCGAUGCGGUGCUGACGUAGUUCUGUCACUUGUUCAAGUCCAUUGUAAGGAGGCUAAGGAAGAAAAGCUAGCAGCGAUCAAGGUUGCCAACACAAAGAGACUCGACUUCCAGUCUUUCAUGGAGACCUUCAUUGCUGCCGCUACUCGAAUUGCAGAUGGAAUCAACCUAGAUGAGUUCGUUGAGCCUGCCAGUCCCCCUCCUGCGGAGUGAACAAACUUUUUAUGAUCUUAUUAAAUUUGCCUCGGUAUGCCGAGUGGUUUUGUAACCGUUAAAACUCCUUCGGGCCGGAUGCACGAGUACUUUAAUCUGCUAUCUGGAACCUCGUAGGAUUUAUCUAAACUUUGUUGGUUUUGAAUCUCUUGGCUCUGAGUGGAAUUUGAUUCUUCAGUCUGAAUUGCUACUGACUCUGUGGUGCAGCUCAGUAGAGUGGAUCAUGAACAAGGGCACUCGGUACUGUCCAUGACCUGCACCUUGUCGUCCUUGCGGAUUAGGAUGGAAUAGACAUUGUAUUUCUGCCGCAGCUCUGAGGAUAAGGUCGCAGUUGACCUGCACCUCGUCGUCCUUGUGGAUCAGGAUGGAGCGGACAUUGUAUUUGUGCCGCAUCUCUGAGCGUGUUUUUAAACUUAGGCGAGUGCGGGACUGCAGCUAAGCCUCCGAGUGGGAGGAUUUCUCUCCACUCGGUAGUUUUUUUUAAAACUUAGACGAGUGCGGGACUGUAGCUAAUCCCCCGAGUGGGAGGAUUGCUCUCCACUCGGUAGGAUAUUUUUAAACUUAGACAAGUACAGGACUGCAGCUAAGCCCCCGAGUGGGAGGAUUGCUCUCCACUCGGUAGGAUUUUUUCAAACUUAGGCGAGUGCGGGACUACAGCUAAGCCCCCGAGUGGGAGGAUUGCUCUCCACUCAGUAGGAUUUUUUAAACUUAGGCGAAUCGGAUUCGCAGCUAAGCCCCCGAGUGAGAGGCUUGCUCUCCACUCGGUAGGAUUUUUGAAACUUAGGCGAAUCGGAUUCGUAGCUAAGUCAUCCACUGGGGGAUUUCGGACAGAUGUAAAAGUAAUAACAAUCAUCUAGGAGAUUGUAAAACCACGUUGUCGGUGUCAAAACCGGCGGAUCUCGGGUAGGGGGUCCUGAACUGUGCGUCUAAGGCGGAUGGUAACAGGAGGCAGGGGACACGAUGUUUACCCAGGUUUGGGCCCUCUUGAUGGAGGUAAUACCCUACGUCCUGCUUGAUUGUUCUUGAUGAUAUGAGUAUUACAAGAGUUGAUGUACCACGAGAUCGUAGAGGCUAAACCCUAGAAGCUAGCCUAUGGUAUGAUUGUAUGUUGUCCUACGGACUAAACCCUCCGGUUUAUAUAGACACCGGAGGGGGCUAGGGUUACACAGAGUCGGUUACAAGGGAGGAGAUCUACAUAUCCGUAUUUCCUAGCUUGCCUUCCAUGCCAAGGAGAGUCCCAUCCGGACACGGGAUGAAGUCUUCAAUCUUGUAUCUUCAUCGUCUAAUAGUCCGGCUGUCCGGAGACCCCCUAAUCCAGGACUCCCUCAGUAGCCCCUGAACCAGGAUUCAAUGACGAUGAGUCCGGUGCGCAGUAUUGUCUUCGGCAUUGCAAGGCGGGUUCCUCCUCCGAAUACUCCAUGGAAGAUUUUGAACACAAGGAUAGUGUCCGGUUCUGCAAAACAAGUUCCACAUACCACCGCAGAGAGAAUAAUAUUUCCACAAAUCUAAUCUGCUGACACGUUUUGACUACAUGACAUCACGCCAUGGCCCGGUCAUUAUUUGAACCGUUUUUCUCAAAUAGCACCGCACAUAUCGCGAGGCGGUUUUCUUGACAUGUCUUGUCAAAGAAGAGAUCGUGUUCCCCUCAUUAUGGGAUUCUCAUCGAUACGGACGUGGGUAACCCAACUGCGCCAUCAAUUACGGCUCUUGGGGAAUAAGCGCUUUUACCAGGCAAGUGGGGAGGCGCAUUGCCUCCUCCGCCCUUAUAAAGGGACGAAGAUUCACUCUUUUCACCCAUGCCUUCUUCCUCCUUGCUUACCCAUUCCCGCACACUCGAGCUCUAGCGCCCAAGCUCACGUUCUUCUUCUCAAACCACUCCAAGCAUGCCCGGAGCAGGAGGCAAGUGGAUGGUCGAAGGAGAACAUCAAAAAGUUACGGGAAGCCGGAUAUCUAGCCACGGAUAUCGCGCACCGACUGCCAGAUGCGGAGCAGAUCAUCCCAACGCCCGAACCCCAUGAGAGGGUAGUUUUUCUUACCCACUUUGUCCGUGGAUUGGGAUUUCCCUCCACCCAUUUGUCCGCGGGCUCAUGUUCUACUACGGGCUGGAUUUUCAUGAUCUGGCCCCCAAUUUCAUCCUCAACAUCUCGGGGUUUAUCGUCGUGUGCAAGGCCUUCCUCCGCAUCAAGCCCCAUUUCAGCCUGUGGCUGAGGACCUUCAAUGUCAAACCGAAGGUAGUGGUCGAACAGCAAGCAGAGUGCGGAGGCGCCAUGGUGGCAAGGUGCCUAACGUCACUUGGCUUGAAGGCUCCUAUGUGGAGACCAUAAAGGGGUGGCAAUCGGGGUGGUUCUACAUCACCGAACCACGCGACACCAACUGGGUGGCGGCCACCGAAUUCCGAUCCGGAAUCCCCACACGGCUCACCUCCUGGAAAGAGAAGGGCCUGUCCUGGGGUUCCUCGGUAGAGCUGAACGGACUCUAGACCUGCAUCAAGAACAUGAUGAGCAAGAAAAUUAAGCUUGUCAACGUGGUCCAGGUCAUGCUCUUCCGUCGGAUUCUCCCGUGUCAACAAUGGGUAUUCAACUUGUGGGAGUUUGACCCGGCCAAGCACCAGACGCUACGAGAGCUCUAUGGCAUGACGCAUGAGGACGUCUGGAGGGUCCUGUUUAAGGGCGCCGAGGUACCUCCUUCCCUCACCGAGGACCGCGGACUCAGCGCAAAGCGCCGCGCCAAUCCGGUGAGUUUUUAUAUUUCACAGGGUAUCUAUUUGCCCCAGUUUAAUCAUGUGCGUGAUCUAAGCCUUCCAUGCCUUUAACAGGACUGGGUGAAGACAGCGGAGCAGAUCGAUUGCCCCGCCCCCCUGUUGGAAGAUCCUGCAGAUGCUCUCCUGACAGAGAUGCUGGUUCCAGCACCUUACGAGGUGCCGGUGAAGAAGGCCAAGAAGAAGGCCGCGGGGACCCGAAAGGGUCUCCAGCGCAAGGAUGUAUCGGACUCAUCGUCCGAUAACUCUGACGCGCCCUCCUCCCACGAAAACGAGGAGGAAGAGGAAAGUUCUCUCCCCCCUAGCCGGGGGAGACAAGAAAAGGAAGGCCGGCCCAACUGGGGAGGCCGAAGGGUCCAAGAAGGGCAAGACCCUCCCUCCGGACUGCUCCACGACGGCCGUGUACAACGACGACGAGUGGCUACCCAGGGUCAAGCCCGUGGAGAAGUUGUAAGUAUCUAGACACCAUAGUAAUUCAUGGUAUGUUUUACUGCACUGCUUCUUCUCAUGCCGAAUAUGAUUAUGCAGUCCGUCCCGAGCUCAUCUUGAUGUAACUUCAUCGAGCGGUUCGUUGGACUCGUUGGAUAUGAACAACAAUUCUCUUCCGACCACCUCAACUCCUUGCCCUGCGGACAACAUGGAGGUGUUGUCUCAACAGGCCGGUCCAAGGGGAGGCAGUCCUGGGGGUGCCUCGAGGCGACCUUCCAGACCCUGGGCGCAAAGGGAUCCGGACUCCCAUGGGCUCCAGGUUCGGCCCCCAGCCGAACACUGCACCGGAAUGUUCGGUGGUUCCGGACUCUGGCGGGCGACCCCCCGUUAAGGGGGGCAAGCCGCCUGUGCCGGUGUCCUCUGUCUAUCCAGAGGCACCGGACAGCUUGCUGGAAGCGCUUCGCGGCGCUUCCAUCGACGAAGAGCACCGUACUAUCAUGAGUGCGGUGAUCGAGAAAGUUCGGUCCGCCAAAAACGGACUGACUAAAGCUUGCGCCAGCCUCCUAACAGGCUUCGAGGUAAGCAAUCAAAAUAUAAGAAAAUAUUACCGCAUAGAUAGUAGCCCCUGAUGCUCUGUUCGGCGUUCGAGUAGAAAGACCGAAUAGAGGAUCAAAUGAUGACUCAGGAGUCUAAUCAGAAUAUAUCUAUGUGUAUGUGCAGGCUUCACUGCUGGCCAAUGCUGCACGUAUUGCGGAGGUCUCUGUGCUGAAGCAGGACCUGGAGCGGUCCGAGAACGAGCUUGGCCUUACCAAGAGGCAUCUCGAGGAUAUAAAAUAAAAGAAAUUUGGGUGUAAAGUAAUAGGAUCAUCAUGAAUUUUCCAGGGCCACGACCGAAGUGGCAACCCUAAGGAAGGUGCUCUCCGAGGCCAAAGACAAAGCGGCAAGGAGCGCAUUGAACGAGAGAAGCAUGAAGCCCGGGUAGGCGAGGUGCAGCAAGAGCUCGAGGCUCUCGCCAAAAAGCAUGAGUCCUUGGAGCUUGACUCUAAGACACGAGAGUCCGAGCUCGUGCAGGCGCUUGAAAGCGUCCGGAGCGCCAAGGCCGAAGCACAUAAGGCCCUCUAGGAGAUUGAUGUGGUGAAGAAGAUAGCAGCGGGUAAGGCAUUCAUUAUGCAAAGCAAGCACGUGAAGGGGACUUUCCUUUUUCUUACCCGAAUUCGGAGCUCUCCAGGAGCGUUUGCAAAUCUUCCCCGCAGUGUACUCGAUGCCGCGGAGUUUUACUGAGCUGGGGAGGGGAGCUCGACGGAGAAGUUGUUCUGGUCUCAGUAUACUAGGACCGAACACCCCGUGCCCUUGAGCGACCAGCUGAAGCAGUUGGUCGAGCUUCACAAGGCGGCCGAACAAGCCAUGAGGGGCUUUAUAGUCCGGAUGUGGCCUGGUGAGCCCCUGUCCGGCAGCUACUUCGGUCUGGUAAGGUGGCUCGUCGAUGCCUACCCAUGGCUUGAAGUCAUAAAGCGGUCCGUUUGCAUCGAGGGUGCGCGCAGGGCUUUUGCCCGGGCAAAGGUGCACUGGGUGAAGCUGGACGCCGUGAAGCUAGUGAAGGAGGGGCCGCCGGAGGGCAAGGAGCAUCGCUGCCCCGAGAUGUACUAUGAGAGUGUCCUGAAGGGUCCCCGCCUUGUGGCGGAUGACUGUGCCAAGGAUGUAAUUUUUGAAUGAACAUGCUCAUGUGAUCCUGUAAUAUGAAACGAGUUCAUUUGCGCCAUGCGACGCUUUUUUAAUUUAAAAUAUUACCUUAUGUGCGUCCGUUUGUAAAAUCUGAGAGUUGGCCAGUCGCCGGCUUCUGCCCCAAUGUAACUAGUACUGGGGUGUUCGGGAUAAACCUGAGCACUCUUUACCCCGAUUUUGGAUCCUUCAAGGGAGGUGUUCAGCGCCACGAACUAGGGAAUCAGACUGUAAUGCUUUAUCACUCUCACUUAGCCAUAGAAGUCUACAAUUUUAAAUUUUGGCGAAGCCCCUGGUAUUUGGAAGGCCGAAUUUGGGGCGCUAUACAUGUCUAAGCCGGGCAAGGCCGACUCCUCGCCCGAAGCGGAAAAAGUCUUUAAGGACUUGAGACCUCUCGAACAGCAACAAGUCUCUCGCCUUAUCAUGACUGUCAGUUUUCGGCUUUCUCUACUGAGGUGCUCGUCCGGAAGAAUCGGGACACAAUCGCAGUAGUUCUCCCACCGCUACCUUAGCUGAUAUAGCGGAACAUAAGGUACCAAAGCAUGGGAGCCGGGCAAACCCAACAUUUGACCAAAGACAUGAUUCCGAGCUGAUCCAUAUAAUGCUAUAAGUUCGGGGUGUCGCACUGUCAAAAGUGUUCGGACUUCUUGCGCCGUAUUAUGGGGUAAACGAAAGCCCCUGGCAUACUGACUGUACCGAACGUGCGGGUGCAGAUUGUCGUAAAUGGACAUAAAGAAAAAAUGGAAUGAAUAAUGCAAUAAUAGACUAAUGCUAUGCAUUGUUAUUAAAUAAUACGUCGAAGUGUACUGGUAUAGGUAGUGCAAUAAGCAUAAAGUAGGACUAUUCAAAAUAUCCUAUCCAAGGGCAAGCUGCGUAUGGAUAGUAGAAAGCGGGUAUUAUUAUUAGAGACCACCUGGGGGUUCCCGUGUACUUCUUAGCUUCUUGCCGCCUUGGUUGUUCCUUCCCGUAAUGUGUCCAGCAAUCAUACUGCCGGAAAGGGCUUCCAAAGAGUUAGGCCUUGAAAUAGAAAAGAAGUAAUAAAGGUAUACAGCCCCUAGUGCGGUUAAGCCGCAUUAUGGGACGUGCCUUGAUCGUGCCCCUGCCUAUGUCCAUGGUAUUUUUAGUGCGUAAUCAUGUAUGUGCGGCACGGAUUUCGUCGCUUGACUGGUACUGGGACAGGGGCCGAAUUGCUAGGCGAGCUCUGAACGUGCCAGGCGAUCCUGUUGCAGUUUACUCCGGACACGCUUGAAGGUGUUUGGGGGCUGUAUCGCCCAAUUAGUGGUUUUCCUUAAAAGGCUGCUUUGUGCUUCUGCUGCGAGGGCCGCAGUGUGCUCAUCCGUGCGGAGUGAGCGUUCUGUUUUUCCAUUCACUGUUAUGACCCCUCGAGGUCCUGGCAUCUUGAGCUUGAGGUAUGCGUAAUGCGGUACUGCAUUGAAUUUUGCAAAUGCAGUUCGUCCGAGCAGUGCAUGAUAGCCACUGCGAAACGGGACAAUGUCGAAGAUUAACUCCUCGCUUCGGAAGUUGUCCGGUGAUCCGAAGACUACUUCCAGUGUGAUUGAGCCCGUGCAAUGGGCCUCUACACCUGGGAUGACGCCCUUAAAGGUGGUUUUGGUGGGUUUGAUCCUCAAGGGAUCGAUACCCUUUUUUCGCACUAUAUCCUGAUAGAGCAGGUUCAGGCUGCUGCCGCCGUCCAUAAGGACUCGAGUGAGAUGAAAUCCAUCGAUGAUGUGGUCUAGGACCAGUGCAGCGGAUCCGCCAUGACGGAUGCUAGUGGGGUGAUCCCUGUGAUCAAAGGUGAUCGGGCAAGAGGACCAUGGGUUGAACUUUGGGGUGACGGGCUCCAUCGCAUAGACGUCCCUUAGUGGACGCUUCUGCUCCCUCUUGGGAAUGUGGGUUGCGUAUAUCAUGUUCACCAUCUUCACUUGUGGGGGGAACCAUUUCUGUCCUCCCGUGUUCGGCGGCCGGGGCUCUUCCUCGUCAUCACUAUGCAGCCCCUUGUCCUUGUUCUCGACAUUUAACUUGCCGGCCUGCUUGAACACCCAGCAUUCUCUGUUGGUGUGAUUGGCUGGCUUGUCGGGGGUGCCGUGGAUUUGACACGAGCGAUCCAGUAUGCGAUCCAAACUGGAUGGAGCCGGAGUACUUCUUUUAAAUGGCUUUUUCCGCUGACCAAAUCUAGAGCCUAUGAAUCCGGCAUUGACUGCCGUAUCCUCAGUGUUAUCGCCGUUAUUGCAACGCUUUGGUCUGUUACAAUGUUGUUUGCCGUUGGCAUCUUUGGUAUCCGAAGUGCCCGGAUUCCUCGAUGUGUUAUUACUACGAGCCAGCCAGCUAUCCUCGCCCGCGUAGAAGCGUGUCAUGAGUGUCGUGAGGGCUGCCAUAGACUUCGGCUUCUCUUGGCCAAGGUGCCGGGCAAGCCACUCAUCGUAGAUGUUAUGCUUGAAUGCCGCUAAGGCCUCUGCAUCCGGACAGUCGACAAUUUGGUUUUUCUUAGUCAGGAAUCGUGUCCAGAAUUGUCUGGCUGAUUCCCUUGGCUGCUGAGUUAUAUGGCUGAAGUCACCAGCAUCCGGUGGUCGCACAUAAGUGCCCUGGAUGUUGUCAAGGAAUGCGUCUUCCAGAUCCUCCCAACUGUCGACGGAGUCUGCUAGCAAGCUAUUUAGCCAAUGCCGAGCUGGUCCUUUGAGUUUUAGUGGGAGGUAUUUGAUGGCAUGUAGAUCGACACCGCGAGCCAUGUGGAUGUGAAGGAGGAAAUCCUCAAUCCAUACAGCGGGGUCUGUUUACCAUCAUAUGAUUCGAUAUUUAUGGGUUUGAAACCCUCCGGGAAUUCAUGAUCCAUAACUUCAUGAGUGAAGCAUAGGGGGUGUGCGGCGCCUCUGUGCCAGGCUAUAUCCCGACGCAGUUCAUGUGAGUCUUGUCUGCUGUAUUCGGCCCGGCCGGAUUUGCUUUUGGUGUAUCCGACACGACGAUCAUCGUCCCGUGUUGGCGCGCGUGCCCGUGACCCAUAUAUUGACCUUGCAAUUUUUUCCUUACUGUCCAAUACGUAUCGCAGGUCCCCUGUGUUGCCCCGGGCCUUAGUAUUUUUGAUUGAGUGGCGGCAGGGUGCAGGCUGAACUUCAGGCUGAAAUGCCUCUCUGGCUCGACCACAUAGUGGCCGGUUAGCCGCAUUGUACUCUGGUGAAUGAGGUUUCAAUUCUUCCUCCUCGAGGUGAGGUAGCAACCUACGUUUUGGGUAACUCUUGGAGGGGCGCUCGAGUUCGUACUCCUCGGCCGCAAGGACUUCGGUCCAUCUGUUUGCUAGCAAGUCUUGAUCAGCUUGAAGCUGUUGCUGCUUUUUCUUCAGGCUAUUUGCCGUGGCCAUAAGCCGGCGCUUGAAGCGCUCUUGCGCGACGGGGUCCUCAGGCACGAUAAAUUCUUUGUCGCCGAGGCUCGCCUCGUCUUCGGAGAGAGGCAUGUAAUUGUCCUCCUCCGGUUCUCCAUCUGCUGCCUGCUCUAUGUAGGAGAUAUGCCCUAGAGGCAAUAAUAAAUGAUAUUAUUUAUCUCCGAGUUCAUAACUAUGUUUAUGUUCUAUACUAUAAAUGCUAUGGUUCUCGAGUCUGCAAUAACCACGAGGCUCGGAGGAAGACUCAUAUGCACGUGUGGAAUAAUAAACGGUAAAAUGUAUUCCUAGUCUGGCCUCUAAGACUAGCUCAAGUGUUGCAUGAUGGUUCUGUUUUCCUGAUCAUGGGCAUGUCUAUGCCAGCAACCUUGAGGGCACAAUGUUAAGAGAACAUUUGUGUUGAAUCGACCCGGAUUGAUGUUAUGCUAAGAGAUUCAUUCGUCACAAGUUAAUGGUACAUAACACAGAGAUGGUUAACGUUUGCAUGAUUCCUUAGACCGUGAGAGUAUCGAGUUUCUUCAUGCUUGCUUCAUGAACUUUGGGGUUUGUUAAACGUCAUCCGUAAAUGGGUGGCUAUUACGGCGGCUUACGAGUUCAUGGAAAAGUGUGUCAAGUAACUUGAUAGCUCAAUAUUGGGAUUUGCUCCUCCGACGAUGGAGAUAUAUUCUCGGGCCCUCUCGGUAUUACGGUAUCCAUCAUCGUCUGGCCAGACACAGUGUGAUUUGAUCACUAGGAUGCCGGAACACGGAAACUAGAAAAGAGAACAAAACGGGUAACGAGGUAACUUGCAUGGUGGACAAAUUGUUUGUCCACGGGGAUGCAAUAAAUCUCACCUCGGGUGUUUGUGACAUAUCGCGAAGCAAUAGGAAUAGCUCACUGCAACUGGAGGUUCACUCGAAUAUUUAUUCGUGUGGGUAUAGGGGUCAAUAUGGGUAUCCACGGCUCCGAUGUUGAUCAUUGAUCGGAAGGGGUUCCGGGUCAUGUCUAUACUUCACCGAACCUAUAGGGUCACACGCUUAAGGGUCAUCUAUCUGCUGAAUACUAGACAAGGAGUCUGAGAGAAAAUCACCGGAAAAGUUUCGGACAGCGGAAAAGGUUCCGCAGAGAGAGGUCAUCGGAUGAGUUCCGAUGAAACUGAAAAGUUGUUUCAGGGGAUACCAUUAAGUCAAAUUGGUUUCCGCACAUGCCUGAUAAUUCUUGGAGGGUGCCAGAAUCAUGCUGGAAGCUUUCUGGAAUUUUCCGGGAUAAUAACUGGAUAUGCUCCGGAGCUGCCAGAACCACUUCAGAUGCUUUUCGCAGAUGAAAAUCACUAAACCGGAAUUGUUUCGGAACGCGUUGAAAAUCAUUUUGGUGGGUACUGGAAAUGUUCUAAGCCCACAUAAAUAUUUUCAGUUCGAACGGACGCUGAAAAAUGUCAUCGCGAAUAGUGAAAGUACUUUUUGGGAUAUUUAUGGAAAGCCACCUUUUGGGGCUUUUCCCAAAAGGCUUCUAGAAGGACUUCGGGAUCAAGGAACCCCCUUUGGGGGGCCCCCAUGAAGGUGGGACGUUGGAGGGUGCAGCUCCUCCAUGGGGCUCCACUUGUCAUCCCUUUAUGCCUUUUAUACCCUUUGUGUGUGACAUAAAGUGGGGGCACUUUUGGUAUUUCAGAAUACCCAUCCUACCCCUUGGUUUCCCUAUAAAUAGGAGGUGAGGGGGCUGCCCAAACCUCAUCCAUUCUCACAUACAAGUGCCAUGCAAUGAUCUGGCUUGUUCUCUCCCUCCCACGAAAAGAGUUUCGUAGAGCCGUAAGGCUAUCUGGGUUCCGGCAGGAACUAGUUCUGGACAGCGAAGCCCUGCCGGAUAGAUGACACCGUAUGUGUGCAACUCUGUAGAGAGAUCGUAGUUUCAGUCUUAGUUCAUGAGUGCCUCCUGAAGGGCUGUCUGUGUGACCGUCCGAGUUUUGAAGGUCCUCCCGAAGGGCUGUCCGAGUGACCGUUCGAGUUUCGAAAGUCCUCCCGAAGGGCUGUCCGCGACACCGUCUGGGGGGGGGGGGGCUGUUCGACCGCCUCCCGGAGGGCUGUCUGAGGAGCAGAUGAGGGUAUACAUCCUCGCAGUUGGGAGGUUGUAAAUCCUAGCUGCGAGGAUCUGCACCGCCGAUCGUCAUCGACUCUACUUCCCGCUGCGCUACGAGUCGGUAACGAAAGAGAUCAAACCAUGUAUGCAGUCUCCAUAGUGGUCCUGGGCUGGUGCGUAGGUCAGAAAUUUUUGUUUUCUGCCGCGUUCCCCUACAGUGGCAUCAUGAGCCGUGCUAUGCGUAGAUGCAGGUUCCGAUCUAGAAUACAUGGAGAUGUAUGGGCAUUGCAUAAUAUAAUUAGGUAGUAGAUGAGAUCUAUUGCUGAAAAUUAUUUAUAAUGGUGACAGAUGAAUUCUGUUACCCAACGUUCUUGUUGCUUCCCUAGAAUUUGCGUUUGCUCAAUCUCAAGAUAGCAUGGUGGAAUUUGACAAAGUUCUGGCAAUCCGUGAUCCUUAUUGAUCAUGGAAGUGCUAUCAAUUCUUCGGGUUCUGCCGUAGUCAAAAGAAAGAUGAAAUUCGCAGAUGUAAGGGCAUUGCAGAUAUGAUCUGCACGGGGGUCAUGCGUAUGACGAAGUUUAGUAUGGGGCUUGAGAUUUAAUUAUCUCGUGUUUCGUACACCCCGAGAUGUUAAUCUAGCAACUUGAAUAAUCAUACUUGAUGAUAAAACGUUGGUAGCUGCGGUUUAAGUCAAAACCUUAGAAGCCACAUAAAAUAAAAUUUUUCAUAAACCGAUUAGAGGCGUCUAACUUGGUUUUGCAGGAUGUGCAUGUGAUGUGGUAUAGCAAUGCUCAUAUUCAAUUUGAUUAUGUAUGAGAUGACUAUAUGAUGUAAUUAACAUGACCUGCGUGUCAUGAUUCGGCAUGAUGGCUGGAGCCAUAUAAUUGUCACUUUAAUGACCUGCGUGUCAACCUUAAGUAAUGCACUUAUUUUAUUAGCUAUAUAGAUAGCAAUAUUAUCUGGUGCAUCAACAGGGUGGUGGCAAUCUUCGUGAAGGUGAACACCGACGCGAAUGCCGAAGAGGAAGAAAUGAAACACUUCUCCGUCAGAAAGGGCUAUACCAUAUCAUGCUAUUAUGAAUUGCCUGAGAUGUUUAUCCCUUAUGAUGCACCCUUCUUGAUUGCGCGGUAGUCGCUUUUUUAGGGUGAUCUCUCACUUAAAAUAUCAAAGUAGUUAGUGUUCACCCAAGUGUAGCACCAUCUGAAAUUCGUAUCUUUUCGGGGUGCGCCAUGUACACAUGAGCAUGAACGAAUCGAGAGGAAUGAGGCGGGUGAGGUCAGACCUCGCAGCAAGAUCACUUGGUUGUCUUUGACGUUCAGGCAGGAGAGUCCUGAGCUCGGAACACGCCCAUUGAAAGAUGAACAAGAAUCACAUAGAGAUGUGAUCGGCAAGUUGGCCUACCGAUUGAAAUUCGUGUCAUCAGUGAUGAACCCGUCAAUGGCAUCGAAUAGAAAUAUGGAUCUUGAAUCACUCUAAAUCAAUUAUGAGAGAUAUUGAUUUGAGUGGGGGCGCACUGUUGAAUUAACAUGUUUAAUUCUCAGUGCAAUUAAUUAUGAACACUGUCUAAGUGUUUCUUGCAAAAUAGUUGUAGAAUAAUGGCUUGCGUUUCCACCUUCCCUGUUAAAAUUGAAUAGCUGUUAAAUAUCUGGUUAAAACUUUAUGUUUGGUAACGUAAUGUGAGGAUUGUCCUCAAAAGUGCCGAGAAGGAUUUUGUCCUAUCGCAUGCUUUCCAUAUCCUCCCGCUAAUGCUAUGGAUCAUGUGACUCUCGUCCUUCGAUCCAAAAGCUAGAAUUGUGUUACGGUCAAGUGGAAUAUGUUUGCUUCCAUGAAACCCAAACUUCGAAAGUUGGGAUAGUUAUAUGAUAUUCAUGGAACUAAAAAUUAUUUUCAGAUACAAACAAAGCAAUGUUUGUUUGCAAGUAUUAGUAAAAGUGUUUACUAUGCAUUUGACUGUUGGGAAAGGGAUCCAGAAGAACGCCUGUCAUAUAAAGAAAGGUGAAUAAAACAACAACUUAAAGAGAAAGGAUGUGUCCAAAGGGUGUUAGUAUGACUUACACGCCUAGGAAGUCCGGGGCUAACGCCACUCUUAAGUUGGGUGCUUCUUUUGCGAGUAGGAGAAAUACUAAAAGUUAAACAAUUAGAAGUAUAAAGGCAAAAGAGAGAUGACUGGAAUAUCCAUCUCAUGUAUGAAUGUCAUACAAGUUUUUGAUGUAUAGUAGGCUGGUCAAAGAUAUAGUUCUUGGGAAUUAUGGUUAAACAUGUUAAUCACUAAUUCUUGGGUAUUGUGAUUUAAUCACAAAGAUACCCGCUCGAUUGCAUUCUGUUGCGAAUCAAUGUAAGAGCUACUAUGGCCUAAAGACUAGCCAGAAAUGAGGUUAAUGUAUACACAGGGAACAUACUAAAUGUUACUAUACCUUCCAUCGGUGUAUUGUUGUCUGUAUUUAUUUUCAUAAUUCAUAUAGAGUUUUACAAACUCUAGCCCAUUGCAUAAGGUAUCUUGCAAGAAGGUUGUUCAUAAGAGAACCUUUUAUGUUCGAUGUUAUGAAUAACACAAGGGCCAUACUUUCAUUAUGAAUGAGAUGUAUGUUAUGAAUAUUGAUAAUAAUACAAUACCUCUAGGUUUACUUUCAUAAUUCAUUUUAGAGUUUCUUACACUCCAGCCCAUUGCAUAAUGUUUAUUGCAAAAGACUUGUUCAUAAAAACAACAAUUGUUGUUAAGUAUUAUGAAUAACAUGAAGGGCCAUGCUUCCAUCCAAGAUGGGAUGUAUGUUAUGAAUAUUGAUGGUAAUAUGAUACAUCCAUAACACUGACGCUAAAUGUCGCAAGACUAAAAGAAUACCACACAAGUGUGGCACUACAUUUGGUCACAUUGGAGAAACCCGCAUGGAAAAUUCCAUUAUGAUGGAUUUUGAAGUCUUUUUGAUUUUGAAUCAUCUGACAUUUGCAACUUUCCUCCGAAAAGUGAAGUGACUGAAAUACCGUUCACAGGCCAUAAGGAAUGAGCAACAAACUUAUUGGUGAUCAUACAUUUUGAUGUGUGUAGUUAAAUAAAUGUUGUUGCAAGUAGUGGAUUUAUAUAUCUUCAGACAUGACUCAAGUAGAUAUAUGGAUAUUUGCUUGAUGAGACGUAAGUCUGGAUCUUUUGAAAUCAUUCGAAAGGUUUUCAAAAAUGAAGUAGAAGUUAUUGUAACAAGGAAAUUAUGUUUCUACAAUUUGAUUGCAGAAAGGAAUAUCUGAGUUACAAGUUUAGCGAAUGUCUGAUGAGUUGUGAAAAGAGUUUCAUAACUUACACCUUCCGGAACACCACUAUGAGUGGAAUGUCUGUGAAGAUGUAAUCAAACCAUUUAUGACAUGGUAAGGUCAAAGAUGACAUAAAUAAAUUUGCCAUUAUCCCUUUUAAAGUGAUGCUUUAGAGACUGCGGCUUUUACACUGAAAAGAGCUACAUCGGGUCUGUUGAAAUGAAGCCAUGGUAUGGUACGCCCAACCAUGUAAUAUCUUUUCUUAACAUUUGGAAUAUGGGGCUUGUGUAAAAGGUUACAAACCUAUUCUAAAUCAGACAAGUGCUACUUUGUAGGUUAUACCAAAAUGUUGGGUAUUCCUCCCUCACUAUACCGAGGCAAAUAGUUUUGCCGCGAAAUGGUGUACUUUUAAAGAGAAUGGUUCUUUCAAAAAGGUGAGUGGGAGAAUAGUGCAACUCGACGAGAUAAAUAGUAUCUUCGUCAUCAGAUCAAAGGAAAGAGACAUUGGAAGUAAUUCCAGAGUUUCCUACUGCGACUGAUAUGGAAGUCUCUACAAUAAAAUGUAUGAACUUCGGUCGAACUUGCAGCUGAACCACGUAGGCAAGGCUCGUGCAAACCUCUCAGGUGCGCAAACGAGAUAUUGUUGUUAGACAACAUUAUACCUACGAUACACAAGGAAGCGUUGAUGGGCCCUGACUCUAGAAUUGGCUAAAUGCCAAUACAACCCAAGUUAGUUUCCCUAUAAGUGAUUCAAGAUUAAAACCUUGAUACACCUUUCAGAAGACUUAGAGUCUAACGAAUAUUGAUGGAACUUAAAACUGAUACGGAUAAAAAUGUUUUAUCCAUAAAGCUCGACUUGUUGAAAUAACAAGUUCAAGAGUUGACUACGAUGAGGUUGUUUUCAUCGUAGCGAUGCUUAAAGUUGGUUCGGGUUGAACUAGCAAUUAAUACAUAUUUCAAUCAUGAGAUCUGAAACAUGGAUGACAAUAGUAUUUCCAUCUGAUGGAAAUGCAACCAAGGACUUGCAUGUGUUACAGUCCAAGGCAUUUUGUCUAUCCAGAGGAUGCUAGUAAGGGUGCAAACUUCAGAGUUCCAGCGAUGGACAGAAGAGAGCAAAAUGGAGUUGGAAUCUUCAUGCUUUGAUGAAAUGGUCAAAGGGGUUUGACUUCAUCAAUGGGUAACGAAGAUGCUUGUAAUUCUAGAAAGUAAGUGGGAGCGUAAUAAUUUUUCUAAAAACCUUGUGUGCUUGACACAUUGUUAAUUGGAAAUAAAUUUCUUGACAGGAAUUAGGACUUCAUUUGAAAAUAGUUUUUUGAUGAAGUGCUUAGGCUAAAUAGCCUCAAUAUUAGACAUAAUGAUCUAUGGAGAUAGAUUUACCUAAUAGGGCUAAGCAAUGAAUACAUAUUGACAAGGUGCUAAAACCUUUUAGCAUUUAAAACCGCCAAGGAGUGAUUCUUGCCGGAGUCACAUGGAAGAGUUUUUUGCAAGACUCGGUGUCCCAAAACACUAAUGAGCAAAAUACAUGAUGCAGAUUCCACACACUUUUGUGUUUGGAUUAAUCAUGUAUUCCAUGGUAUGUAAAACAACCAGAUAUGUCUGAUACUCCCAAGGUGUUGCGAGAAUGGAUACUAAAGUGAUCAAAGUACUGAUCGUUGGACAAUAGUGAAAGAUGUCAUUGAGUACUAGAGUAAGUACUGAUGAUAUGUUUUCUCACAAGCGGAGAUCAUGAAGAGUUCGUUGUAAAAUGUUACAUCGAAAUAGUCUUCAUCUUUUCUCCAUGCGAUUUUCGAUUUAAAUUGAGGGUUUUGUGUAACACAAUAUGGUGGUGCAGUUAGUUGGAAAUUGUUCCAAACAAGUUACUGUGGCGAAUUCUAUAACAGAGGCGGAGUAUGUUGCCGCUUUAGAAGCGACAAAGACAAAGAUGUUGAAUCAUAUAGUUCAUUCAUGAACUUAGUAUGGUUCCAAGAAGGCUUUGGUCAAUGGGACACUAUUGCAGAUAGUUGCUCCAUAACUCAGUCUGAGGAAUCAGGUUUCGACCAAUGAUUCACAUAUAUACAAAGCCAAGUCCGCACAAAAUAUGAAUUUUGUGAAAGCGUGAAAACGCGAGGAUAUGCAGAGAUACACAUGGAGCUGAAGUUGUCAGAUCCGAUGGACAUCAGGCUAUACCACAUGCGAAGCAUUUUUUACACCGGUAUGCCAUAGGUGUAAAGUGCAUUUGCAUUAACUAGAUUAUUGACUCUAGUGCAAGUGGGAGUCUGUAGGAGAUAUGCCCUAGAGGCAAUAAUAAAUGAUAUUAUUUAUCUCCGAGUUCAUAAUUAUGUUUAUGUUCUAUGCUAUAACUGCUAUGGUUCUCGAGUCUGCAAUAACCACGAGGCUCGGAGGAAGACUCAUAUGCACAUGUGGAAUAAUAAACGGUAAAAUGUAUUCCUAGUUUGGCCUCUAAGACUAGCUCAAGUGUUGCAUGAUGGUUCUGUUUUCCUGAUCAUGGGCAUGUCUAUGCCAGCAACCUUGAGGGCACAAUGUUAAGAGAACAUUUGUGUUGAAUCGACCCGGAUUGAUGUUAUGCUAAGAGAUUCAUUCGUCACAAGUUAAUGGUACAUAACACAGAGAUGGUUAACGUUUGCAUGAUUCCUUAGACCAUGAGAGUAUCGAGUUUCUUCAUUCUUGCUUCAUGAACUUUGGGGUUUGUUAAACGUCAUCCGUAAAUGGGUGGCUAUUACGGCGGCUUACGGGUUCAUGGAAAAGUGUGUCAAGUAACUUGAUAGCUCAAGAUUGGGAUUUGCUCCUCCGACGAUGGAGAGAUAUUCUCGGGCCCUCUCGGUAUUACAGUAUCCAUCAUCGUCUGGCCAGACACAGUGUGAUUUGAUCACUGGGAUGCCGGAACACGGAAAUGAGAAAAGAGAACAAAACCGGUAACGAGGUAACUUGCAUGGUGGACAAAUUGUUUGUCCAUGGGGAUGCAAUAAAUCUCACCUCGGGUGUUUGUGACAUAUCGCGAAGCAACAGGAAUAGCUCACUGCAACUGGAGGAUCACUCGAAUAUUUAUUCGUGUGUGUAUAGGGGUCAAUAUGGGUGUCCACGGCUCCGAUGUUGAUCAUUGAUCGGAAGGGGUUCUGGGUCAUGUCUAUACUUCACCGAACCUAUAGGGUCACACGCUUAAGGGUCAUCUAUCUGUUGAAUACUAGACAAGGAGUCUGAGAGAAAAUGACCGAAAAAGUUUCGGACACCGGAAAAGUUUCGGACAGCGGAAAAGGUUCCGUAGAGAGAGGUCAUCGGAUGAGUUUCGAUGAAACUAAAAAGUUGUUUCAGGGGAUACCAUUAAGUCAAAUUGGUUUCCGCACAUGCCUGAUAAUUCUUGGAGGGUUCCAGAAUCAUUCUGGAAGCUUUCUGGAAUUUUCCAGGAUAAUAACCGGAUAUGCUCCGGAGCUGCCGGAACCACUUCAGAUGCUUUUCGCAGAUGAAAAUCACUAAACCGGAAUUGUUUCGGAAUGCGUUGAAAAUCAUUUUGGUGGGUACUGGAAAUGUUCUAAGCCCACAUAAAUAUUUUCAGUUCGAACGGACGCUGAAAAAUGUCAUCGUGAAUAGUGAAAGUACUUUUUGGGAUAUUUAUGGAAAGCCACCUUUUGGGGCUUUUCCCAAAAGGCUUCUAGAAGGACAUGGGGAUUAAGGAACCCCCUUUGGGGGGCCCCCAUGAAGGUGGGACGUUGGAGGGUGCAGCUCCUCCAUGGGGCUCCACUUGUCAUCCCUUUAUGCCUUUUAUACCCUUUGUGUGUGACAUAAAGUGGGGGCACUUUUGGUAUUUCAGAAUACCCAUCCUACCCCUUGGUUUCCCUAUAAAUAGGAGGUGAGGGGGCUGCCCAAACCUCAUCCCUUCUCACAUACAAGUUCCAUGCAAUGAUCUGGCUUCUUCUCUCCCUCCCACGAAAAGAGUUUCGUAGAGCCGUAAGGCUGUCUGGGUUCCGGUAGGAACUAGUUCUGGACGGCGAAGCCCUACCGGAUAGAUGACACCGUAUGUGUGCAACUCUGUAGAGAGAUCGUAGUUUCGGUCUUAGUUCAUGAGUGCCUCCCGAAGGGCUGUCCUUGUGACCGUCCGAGUUUUGAAGGUCCUCCCGAAGGGCUGUUCGAGUGACCGUUCGAGUUUCGAAGGCCCUCCCGAAGGGCUGUCCGCGACACCGUCUGGGGGGGUGUUCGACCGCCUCCUGGAGGGCUGUCUGAGGAGCAGAUGAGGGUAUACAUCCUCGCGAUUGGGAGGUUGUAAAUCCUAGCUACGGGGAUCUGCACCGCCGAUCGUCAUCGACUCUACUUCCCGCUGCGCUACGAGUCGGUAAUGAAAAAGAUCAAACCAUGUACGCAGUCUCCAUAGUGGUCCUGGGCUGGUGCGUAGGUCGGAAAUUUUUGUUUUCUGCCGCGUUCCCCUACACUCUAGAGGGCUGGCUUGUUCAUCCUGCGGCUCUACAUCAUGCUGGAGGGGAUUGAUUGUCUUCGGCAGUAUCCGGAGUGUUAUUAUCUCCUAUGCGGGUAUUACUAAUUUUGUUGUGGCGGGACUUAGAGCAGCGCCGCUGACGUCGGUGCUUGGGUUGCUUCUUGGAGGGGUCAUCCUCUGCUGUCUCGUCGCCAUUGCUUUCCUUAGGGGUGUCCACCAUAUAUAUGUCGUAUGAUGAUGUGGCGGUCCAGCGCCCUGUGGGUGGUGGUUCCUGCUCGUCUCCUGCUCGUCAUCCAUAUUGUCGAUGUCUUUAGAGUCGAAGUCGAGCAUGUCGGUUAAAUCGUCAACAGUGGCUACUAAGUGGGUGGUGGGUGGGCAGCGAAUUUCUUCGUCGUCCGCAUCCCAUUCUAGCCGGACAUAGUUCAGCCAAGGUUCUCCUGAUAGGGAGCGGGACCUCAAUGAAUUUAGCACAUCGCUGAAGGGUGAGUGCUGAAAGAUAUCUGUGGAGGUGAACUCCAUGAUCGGCGCCCAGUCGAAUUCGACGGGCACGGGUGUAAGCGGCUCGAAGUCCGUGGCCGGAGGUGAAUCCAGUGGUUCGGCGACACGGCUCUCGUAAGGGGUGAAGUCAGUAUCCGGCUCCAUCGCCACUGAGAGUGCGGUCUCCAUGGAGGGGUCUAUCCCUCCGCUCUCGGAUGGCACGAUUUGUUCCGGAUUGACGGCCGGAGUAUCUGCAGAUGCAAUCUCCUGAACACCGUCCAACAGCAGAGUUACGUCGUGCUCAUCGUGACUGUGCGGCGCACCUGACACGGGCUCGAAUCCGUCGAAGAUCAAGUCUCCGCGGACGUUGAUAGUGUAGUUUAAGUUUCCGAAUCUGACCUGAUGGCCAGGGCGUAGCUCUCGAUCUGCUCCAGAUGGCCAAGCGAAUUGGCCCGCAGUGUGAAGCCGCCGAAUACAAAGAUCUGUCCGGGGAGGAAAACCUCACCCUGGACCGCAUCGCUACCGAUGAUCGAAGGAGCCAUCAAGCCUUAUGGUGACGACAUAGUGGAACUCUCAAUGAAAGCACCGAUGUCGGUGUCAAAACCGGCGGAUCUCGGGUAGGGGGUCCCGAACUGUGCGUCUAAGGCGGAUGGUAACAGGAGGCAGGGGACACGAUGUUUACCCAGGUUCGGGCCCUCUUGAUGGAGGUAAUACCCUACGUGCUGCUUGAUUGUUCUUGAUGAUAUGAGUAUUAGAAGAGUUGAUCUACCACGAGAUUGUAGAGGCUAAACCCUAGAAGCUAGCCUAUGGUACGAUUGUAAGUUGUCCUACGGACUAAACCCUUCGGUUUUUAGACACCGGAGGGGGCUAGAGUUACACAGAGUCAGUUACAAGGGAGGAGAUCUAUAUAUCCGUAUUGCCUAGCUUGCCUUCCACGCCAAGGAGAGUCCCAUCCGGACACAGGACGAAGUCUUCAAUCUUGUAUCUUCAUAGUACAACAGUCCGGCCAAAGGAUAUAGUCCAGCUGUCCGGAGACCCCCUAAUCCAGGACUCCCUCACAUGUCUUUGAUAAACAAACUGAAAGGUACUUCUUAUUACAUCUCGACAGUCUGAAUGCUUAAGUAUUAAAAUGGUGGAGAAGCUCCGCAUUCCAAGCGCGUGGCUCCUCUUUCUUGUGUUCCACAUCAUACAGGUGAUAUGCUCCGUUGUGGAGCACUUUGGUGAUGAUGAAGGGGCCUUCCCAGGUGGGAGCAAGCUUGUGUGGACGUUGCUGAUCCACUUGGAGAACCAGGUCCCCCUCCUGAAAUGCUCGACCUCUUACGUUCCUAGCAUGGAAUCGACGAAGGUCUUGCUGAUAGAUGGUCGACCUGCUCAGGGCCAUCUCUCUCUCUUCUUCUAAAAGAUCAACGGCGUCUUGACAGGCUUGUUCUGCUUCUGCCUUUGAGAAGAGCUCCACUUGUGGGGCAUUAUGGAGUAGAUCAGUCAGCAGCACGGCCUCGGCUCCAUAAACCAGGAAGAAAGGAGUCCGGCCAGUCGACUGAUUUAGUGUUGUUCUCAGACUCCACAUUACUGAUGGUAACUCAUCUACCCAGGCACCAGCUGCAUGCUUGAGGUCUCGCAUCAAUCUGGGCUUCAACUCUUGUAAGAUCAAACCAUUUUCUCUUUCUGCUUGCCCGUUCGACUGUGGGUGAGCGACUGAAGCGUAGUCGACCCGGGUGCCCUGGGAAGCGCAGAAAGCUCUGAACUCAUCUGAAUCAAAGUUUGAACCAUUGUCUGUGAUGAUGCUGUGCGGGGCUCCAUAUAUGAAUGUUAAUUCUCUGAUGAAGCUGACGACGGUUCUCGAAUCGAGGUUCUUGAUGGGUUUGGCUUCAAUCCAUUUGGUGAACUUGUCGACUGCAACAAGCAGGUGGGUGAAACCACUUCUGCAAUCCUCAAGGGUCCAACCAUAUCCAAUCCCCAAACCGCAAACGGCCAGACGAGUGGAAUGGUAUUCAACGUGAGGCGGGCUUGUGAGACAUGUUAGAGUAAAACUGGCAGCCCUCACACUUGUCGACUAUUUCCUUCGCCCGUGGCCAGUAAAAAUCUGCUCAGUAUGCUUUGGCCAUGAUUGUCUGAGAGGACGCAUGGUGACCACAGGUCCCCGAGUGGAUAUCAUUGAGGAUCAUUCGACCUUCCUCCGGGGUAAUGCACCAUUGAGAAACUAUAGUCACACUCUCCCUGUACAGUCGACCACUUAUCACAGUGAAGGCUUUGGAUCGACGGACAAUCUGUCGUGCUUCAUCUUCGUCUUCUGGAAGCUCUUUCCUGAGAAUAUAUGCGAUGUACGACAUUGUCCAAUUAGGAAUGAUAAGCAAAACUUCCAUGAUUAAGUCUACCACGGCUAGGAUUUCAACUUAAGUCGGAUCAGUAGAACUCUUAGGUUACGGGGGCUCUUCUAUAAAGGGAUCCUCUUGAACUGAUGGUGUGUGAAGAUGCUCCAAGAACACAUUGCUGGGAAUGGGCUCUCCCUUGGAACCUAUCUUUUCCAGGUCAUCCGCUGCCUGAUUCUUCAGUCGGGAAAUGUGGUGCAGCUCUAGCCCUUCAAACUUCUUUUCUAACUUUCUCACUUCAUUACAAUAACCAGUCAUAGCUUGCCUUCUGACAUCCCACUCAUUCAUCACUUAAUUGACCACCAAAUCUGAGUCGCCGUAGACCAUUAGGCCACGGACGCCGAGUGAAAUGGCCAUCCGCAACACAUAUAGAAGCGCUUCGUAUUCAGUUUCAUUGUUGGAGGAAUCAAAGUGAAUCUGAAGGACAUAAGUAAGUAUGUCACCUCGCGGGGAUACCAGAACUACUCCAGCGCCAGAACCAUUCAACAUCUUGGAUCCAUCAAAGAACAUAGUCCAAUGUUCCUGGAAUUGAGUCGGUUGCUGUUGAUCAAUCCACUCGAUGAGGAAAUCUGCUAUUACCUGGGACUUGAUUUCUUUCUUUGCCUCAAUCUUGAUAUCCAACGGAAGGAGUUUAAUCGCCCACUUUGCCACUCGACUAGUUGCGUCCCUGUUAUUCAAAAUUUCUGACAAUGGAGCAUCACUGACGACUGUGAUAGAGUGAUUUGAGAAAUAGUGUGCAACCUUCUUUGAAGUCAAGUAAAUUCCAUAGACAAGCUUCUGAUAAUGUGGAUAUCUCUGCUUGGACGGGGUUAAGACUUCCGAAAUAUAGUACAAUGGGCGCUAAACCUUAUAGGCUUUACCUCCUUCUUCCCGCUCGACCGUGAGUACUGUACUAACAACUUGUCCACUGGCUGCAAUAUAAAGCAGUAAAGGCUCUUUGUUGAUUGGAGCAGCAAGCACCGACUGGGUGGAAAGCAGGGUUUUGAUCUCUGCAAACGCUGCGUCAGCUUCAAGAGUCCACUCGAACUUAUCAGAUUUCUUCAUCAAUCGGUAAAGAGGCAAUGCCUUUUCAUCGAGAUAAGAGAUGAAUCGACUCAAGGAGGCCAAACAACCAGUAAGCUUCUGAACAUCGUGUAUGCACAUAGGGCUUUUCAUUUGGAGUAUUGCACCAACUUUCUCUAGGUUUGCAUCGAUCCCAUGUUCGGAAACGCGGAAACCAAGUAACUUUGGCGUACCUCUCUGGGUGCUCUAGGUCCAAGGGUAUCUUCUUCGUCUCUUUGGCCGGCUUAAACGAACCCUCAGCCUCUGACUCUUUUGGGUUGGGCGACACCUCAGGCUGCUUGCCGGCCAUUGCCACAACUCGCUCAAGGAGCCGCUUCUCAGCCGCGAUUACCAGGGACUCGGCCAGCCGACUUCUCUCUGCUGCGCAAGCAGACGACUUCCGGUAGUCGCCAGCCAUAGUUAGAAUUCCCCUGGAACUGGGCAUCUUCAUCUUGAGGUAGGCGUAGUGGGGGACCUCCAUGAACUUGGCCAAGGCAGGUCAGCCAAACAACGCAUGGUAUGGGCUCUCGAGAUCCACCACCUCAAACCAAACGGGCUCUCUACGGAAGUGAUCUUUGUCCCCAAAGAGGACGUCCAUCAGGAUCUUGCCGAUUGGCGAGCAGGAAAGACCAGGAACAAUGCCGUGGAACACAAUUCGGCUAUUCUAAAGCUGUCUUUGCUUGAUUCCUAACUUCUCCAUGGUGUCCUUGUACAGGAUAUUGAUGCUACUGCCCCCGUCUAUCAGAACUCGCGAGAAACGCGCGGCUUGUCUGUCCGUAGCAAAGGUGGCAUCCAGGACCAAGGCAUAAGAGCCUGGACUCGGCAUCACUUUUGGGUGGUCAGCCCUGCUCCAGCUGAUGGGCUUCUCAGACUAGUGCAUGAACUCUGGCGUCUCUGACGCUACUGCAUUCACCUCUUGUCGCUGCAGCCGCCUGUUGUGUCGAUCAUCAGCCACACUGGUGAACACCACAUAGGCUCCAUGCUCUUCAGGGUAUUCGUCUUGUACUGCGCCGACUGGCUUGACAGCCAGCUGCUGGGGCGGAGGCGGAGGCGGCUGCCCAGCAGGCGGGGGAGGCAGGAGGCCGUCUCCCUUGGCGAUCCUGGUGAGCCAGUGGCACUUCCAGGUGGUGUGAUUCGAUGGCUUUGCACCGCUAUGGAACUUGCAAGGUCCAUCCAAGGUCUGCUGAUAGGAGAAGGCAGGCAACCAGUUUGGCUUGCCGCCUUUCUUUUGCUUGGGCGGGGGCUGCUCAUCUGGCUGCUGGGCUUCAACGAUCGUGACCUGCCUGCUGCUGGAAGCUGGCUGCGGGGCCUUGCGCUUGUUGUCGCCCUGCUGUUGUCGCCGGCCGGCGUCUGCCGCCGGAGUUCUUGGAGCUUGAGGAGCCACUUUGCUAGUUGUGCUGAUUUGAAUUUCCGCCUUAAUGGAGGAGUCGGCCAUGGCGUAUUUGUCCGCUAUGAUCAGCAGCUCAUCGAGGGUUCUGGCUCGUCACAAAGGAGCUUGUGCAUGAGGAGGGUGCCUUCUCUGCACCCGGCUGUGAAGUACUCGAUGGCCUGCACCUCGUGCAUGCCCUCGCAGGAGUUCCGGAGCUCGGCCCAACGCGUGAGGUAAUCACGAGUUGACUCGUCGGGGCCUUGCACGCACAAGGAGAGCUGACGAGGCUUGGGAGGACGCUUGUACGUGCUGGUGAAGUUGCGGACGAACGCUUCGGUGAAGUCGACCCAGCUGUUGAUGUUGCGGGGCUUCAGGCCGUUCAGCCAUGUCCGGGCCGUGCCCUGGAGCAUGAGCGGAACGUACUUUAUGGUGACACGCUUGUUGCCGUUUGCUAUGUUGACAGCCAUGGAGUAGUCAACUAGCCAGUCUUCCGGGUUCACGGAGCCGGUAUACUUGGGCGUGUCUCUUGGGAGCGUGAACCCUCUGGGAAAGGGUUUGUCCCGAAUGCGGGGCCCGAAACAAGGCGGACCCAGCUCGUCUUCUUCUUCUAGCGCUAAGGAUCGGUGGAGUCGGUCGAUCCGGUGGCGGGCGUCGUUCUCUCCAACUCCCUCUCGGCGGCCAAGGCGGUCACCGAGAGUCGGAUGGUCAACAGGCGGCGGGGAGACUCGCCUCUCCUUGCGGGAAGGGGAGGCGGACAAUCGUCCCGUCGUUCCACUGCUCUUGGGCGGCCGUCUCGGUCGCGCUCUAUGGUAAUGCGAGUCCGACCAUGGCUGACAGUCGGCUCCUUGUAUCUUCUACCUCGGGCGCCGCCAGUCGGUGUCUGAGACGUUGCACCUUGAUCUCGGUGAAGGUCGUCGACGGGCCGUUGAGGCGCCUGCGUGCGGCAGCCGGCCUCGUUCUGCGCGGCAGCCGCGUCGAGAAGCCGCUGGACUCGUUCCAUCAUGAGGUGGCGUUCUUCGCCCUCGAAAUUGUCCAGCUUGUUCGCUGCUGCCUGGGCAGCUCGGAUGUUCUCCGCUGGUGUAGCGUACACAGGGCGGCUUGCCCCAAACAGGUUGGCGAUGGCUACGCCGCGCUACCGGACCGUGCCAAGGCGGCUGGGCCCCGCCGGGGCCAGCGAGCCACCGACGGCGUGAUCCAUCUCCCGCUGGUAGGCUUCUGACAAGCGCCUCAUGCUGGCCAGCUUCUUCGCGCCUACAAGGAGUUGAAGGCGGCGUGCCUCCAGCGUCUCUGCGUCAGCGUCUUCCGAAAUGGGCGCAGUUAGGUCUUGUAGCGCCGCGCCUAGCGAGUCGUGCGCUCCUCCACCGGGGAGCUCGUCAUGACUGGUGACUAGCACCUCGGUGACGGUGCUUCCGUUGCUCUCUGCGUGGGGGAGAGGUUCGUCGUAGACCACCACAUUGGUGGGGAACGCGUCGAGCGACGUGGUGUUGGAGUCGACCAGCAUUGGGUCGGUUGAGCCUAGGGACUCCAAGUCUACGGCAGGCUCGCCGGAAACGUGGAGUUGAUCGAGGAGGCCUGCGAGGAGGUUCUCGGGGCCGCCCGUGCCUGCGUUGGAUGUAGGUUCGUCGGAGAGGCGGACCUCACCGACAAGUUCGGCCAAGGAGCUGACCGCGCAGGCAAUUUCGACGCCGCUUAGCGCGUCGACGCAAACUCCGUCUGGCGUGCCUGGCUGGCUGCGCUCGCCAGGGAGGAAAAGGGUUCCCGUCCAGAGCAGAUCUCCAGACGGCGGUGCACCAGGCCCCACGGUGGGUGCCAAAUGUCGGGGGUUUGGUGCGACAUAUGCCAACGGAUGGCUUAUCAUGGUGGGGGCGAGUAGAACGUCGCUGGUGCCUGGAAACGGGAUGAGGCGAAGACAUGCACGCCGGUGAAUCUUACCCAGCUUCGGGGCUCUCCGGGGAGAUAAUACCCCUACUGCUGCUCUGCGGGGUCUCCGCAUGAUCACUAUGGCCAAGUGUUUACACGGUUGCUCCUUGAGCUGUUUUCUGGUGGUAGGAGAGGGCAAGGCUAGCUCUCUCCCUUCUAUAUGAUCUGUUCUAGAGCUAAUGGGUUCCAACCCUUUGCAUGGGUGCCCUGGGGGGUUUAUAUAGGCCUACCCCCCAGGGGUACAAUGGUAAUCCGGCUGGACGCGGGCCCAGCUGUCAGUGUCUCUGGCCUCCGUCUUCUCUACUGACCGCUGGGGCCCGUCGACUGGCGGGCCCCGCCGACUGGCCUGGUACGGAGCCGACAGGCCGUGUCCGCCGCGGGCGGGUCUUGCCGGCUGCUGGUUACUGUAGCCAUGCUUCUGAUGACGCGAGCUUGAUCAUGAGGUCGUGGUAACAGCCCCGCCACCUGGCGUGCGAUCACUGUUGCCACUCCCCAUCACAUCUUGAUUAAUGGCGCAUGGGCCCCGGGGGAGGGCUCGGCCGACUCCCCCGGGCCGACUCCCGACGGGUCCGACUGGUGGUUCUCCUGCCGUCUCCCGAGGUCUCACUGACUGGUGGGGCCUGCUGCCUCCAGGCCGAACAGACAAGCCGUCGUGGGUGCAGGAUUCGGCCCUGCGGUGCUGAUGUUAGGGCCGGCAUGGCAACAGUGCCACGCCGCACGGAGAUCUUCCGGGGUACGGCGUGCUGUGGCCAUGCCUGCCCUUGGUGAGGGGCGGGGGUGGGCUUCGCUGUAGCCACGCCCCUGCCUCGUCCCCUCUGAUGAGGUCAUGGGGUUUGUUGGAGUCGCAGGCCGACUCCCCACAGCCGGCUUCUCUGCAAGUUGUCCCUGGGACUCGGCCGUGAGCGGGCAGUCGGCCGCCUUGUCGUCGACUCCCCAGGAGGCGGCUCUUCGUCCUAGGGUCUUGAGGGGCGCAGCCUGCCCCGAUGUCUUGAAAGGUUCUGGGGCUCGGGUUGGCCUACCCGCGGCCCAUUACUCCGACACCCAGGCUUUAGCAUGACUUAAAGUUGUUACAGCUCCAGCUCUCGCGUAUGAUCGCUUGAUUUCUUGGAACCGGGCGGGGAAGAUAUACAGCUUCUUCAAGAUGUCACUUAAUAGAGUCGGCCCUUGAUUCACGGGGGAGAUAGUCUUGGGGGCUAAUGUCUGUCAGCGCAAUUUUUUUCAAAGGAAACAAUUUUUCUAAAAAGUCCCAAGUGUUUUGCAGGCAACAACACUCGGCACUUGGGGGCUAAUGCAUAUUGCUUGACUUUUCUUUCUACAAGUGAGCCGGAUAAGCUGUCCACAGUCUCAGCCAGCUCAGGCAGGUUAUACGGUUCAUUUCUAUGCAAUAAUUAGUAGGACCGGCUCAUUCAUACUGAUUAAACCGGCCCUUGGAGAAUAGCAGGGUAUAUAACUUAUAUGAGAUGGAGAACAUACCUCAUAUUUUUGAUGCAUCUGUUUGACCAUUUCAAUUUCUGAGUCAUGGCUGGAGUGCACUUGACUGAGAUAACUAGAUAGCACUUCACUAAUACUCAGGUGAGCAUAGUGGGAGACAUCCAACCUCACCUUUUGCCUCUCCAUAACUUCUUGUUUGGCAGAGUGUCUUGCCAAGACAGUUGGGUUCCCCUGUUCAACGAAUCUAGUGCUAGUGAUUAAAACAUCAACAUUGUGCUUCUCCGGCGGGUUAGCUGAGCUUGAUGUCUCAAUACUUGAUGGAUCAAUAGUAGUUUCAUCUGUAGACGGCUCAUGUAAAUCAGGUUGAACAUUGAAGGCAGGGUCCUCUAGCCGUUCAGCGUGUUCAUGCACAAAGGUUGACUGCUCCGGGUCUUCAGGAUGUUCUGGUACGAGGGUUGGCUACUCCGGUUCAGUGGUUCUCGGAUCCUCAGCCGGUUUUGUUACCUUUGCUUUCUUGGGCUUUGCUUGACCGCUAGAAAGGAUUUAGACAAGUCAGUACAAUGAUACAUAUUUAAAGGUGUAUAAGAAGGGUAGUUAUCUUUACCCGGGGGCGGUCUUGAAAGCUGGAAAUUGCGUCUAUGAUGAAUCGCCGGAGGAGGAAUGGGAAAUAUCCUAUAAAGAUGGAAUCAAAAAUAAGUGAUGAAGGUAAUUCAUUGAAUAAAUACAAGGGUGAAAGCCAAAAAAGAACCUCAUUCUGGUGUUUCCUAGGAGUUUUUGGUAAGCCGGAGGGUAAAUCGUCAUCUCCACCGGUCUGGGUCUGCCGGCGGCUUUCAUGUUGCUGUCGUUUAAAAAGAAAAUGAGGAUCUAAAUAAGCCAAGGGGUGUCAAAACCUUACUUUCCGGGUUACCCGCCGAAGUUUCUGCCUUGGUAAAGGUUCUGAGUCGGAGGAAAUAAUAUUUACCUCUUCUUCAACUGCCUGGCUGGCCCCCAUAUCAUCCUGGUAAUAGUCAAUGUCAAUAAGGUGGUUAAAAAGCAGGCCAAGAGAGAAAGGGCUACCUCUGACUCAGAGGUGUCAUCCAGCUUGAGUAACUCAGAGGCGGUUGGCUUCUUCUUCUUCUUCUUCUUCUUCUUCUUCUUCUUCUUCUUCUUCUUCUUUUUCUUUGAUUUUCUGACGAUUUUCUUGGCGGCUAUUGCAGCAGCUCUAGCUUUCUUGGCAGCCUCAUGGUCAUACUUGACUUUCCAAAAGUCAGAUUUAGCCUGUGGAAGGGUAGCAUGUUGAAAUUCAUGCAAAUAUUUAAACUCUGGGUUCCAAGGUCAUCAAGGUCAUCAAGGCACACAAAGCAAUCAGGGUAGCUACCAUCAACAGUCAGGUCAAGGGAGUCAGUAACAGCAAUCUGGGUAUCAGAGUAACCCGAAACAUUUGAAUAGUGGACAGUAUCACGUCUUCACCACAAGUUUGUGCAAACGGGAUCAGGAGUUUCAUAAAAGGGCAGUAAACUCUGUUGAACCGACAGUACCCUGUUACUUGCGCUGGUCUGAGCAGGCUAUUGUGUGGAGUCGAGAGGAUCAUCCACCCAGGGUUGAUAACUCGGGUCAUUUAGCAUUGGUGGUCGCACCUCAUGUUGGAGGGUAUAGGUUCACCAAAGUGCUCAUGGACGGAGGGAGCAGCAUCAAUAUCCUUUAUUAUGAGACCUUCCGUUGCAUGGGGUUGACCGAUAAAAAUCUUAAGCCGUCAAACACUGUCUUCCAUGGUGUGGUGCCUGGUAAAUCAGCAUAUCCGGUUGGUAAGAUAGCUCUGGAAGUUGCCUUUGAAGAUGAUCAUGAAUCUAGAUCAGAGACAUUAACCUUUGAGGUGGUGAAAAUCAAGAGCCCUUAUCAUGCCCUGUCCGGACGGCCGACUUAUGCUAAGUUCAUGGCAAGGCCCUGUUAUGUUUAUCUGUAGCUCAAGAUGCCGGUUCAUAAGGGGACCAUCACAAUGCAUGGGAGCCGGAAUAUAGCCUAGGAGUGUGAAGAGGGUGGUGCGGCGUAUGCUGAGUCGGUUUGUGCAACAGAGGAGUUAAAGUUUUAAAAGGAUAAUGUUGACCUGGCAGAUAUGAAUUUGAAAAACCAACCAUAGAGCAUGAUCCGGUUUUAAAAUUUAAGUCGGUAGAUGACACUAAGAUGGUUGACUUUGUCCCUGGUGACUCAUCUAAGCAGUUCAGCAUUAGUGCUAAUCUGGAUCCGAAAUAGGAAAUCGCGCUCAUCGAGUUCAUCUGUGAGAACCGGGACAUCUUUGCAUGGAAGCCCUCAGACAUGCCGGGUGUACCAAGAGAACUCGCUGAGCACACUCUUAAUAUUGAUCCAAAGUUUAAACCGGUCAAGCAGUUUCUUCGCCGUUUUAAUGAGGAGAGACGGACGACCAUUGGAUAAGAGGUAGCCCGGCUCUUGGCAGCUGGGUUUAUCAUUGAAGUUUUUCAUCCUAAGUGGUUGGCUAACCCGGUGUUGGUACUUAAGAAGAAUGGCACUUGGCGUAUGUGUGUGGAUUACACAGACUUAAACAAGGCCUGUCCGGCUGAUCCUUUUGCUCUCCUUCAUAUUGACCAGAUUAUUGAUGCUACGGCGGGUUGUGAGCAUUUGAGUUUUUUAGAUGCUUAUUCUAGUUAUCAUCAGAUCAAAAUGGCAGUUAAGGACCAGGAGAAGACAUCCUUCAUAACUCCCUUUGGAGCCUUCUGCUAUGUGUUUAUGCCUUUUGGGCUCAAGAGUGCCCAGGUGACUUAUCAGAGGUUAGUGCAUAAUUGCCUUCAUAACCAAAUUGGGUGUAAUGUUCAUGCCUAUGUGGAUGAUAUUGUGGUGAAAUCCAGAGAGAAAGAGACACUGAUAAGUGAUUUGAAGGAAAUCUUUGAUAAUCUCUGGAUCUACAAGAUAAUGCUUAACCCGACCAAGUGUGUGUUUGGUGUGCCGGCGGGCAAGCUCCUGGGUUUUUUGGUGUCUAAUAGAGGGAUUGAAGCUAAUCCAGAGAAGAUCAAAGCUAUCACCUCUCUGGCUAAACCGGUGUGUAUCAAUGAUGGGCAGCGCCUGGCGGGUCGUAUCGCGGUGUUAAACCGUUUCAUAAGCUAGUUGGGGGAGAAGGCUAUCCCUCUGUAUCAGAUAAUGAAAAAGACAGAUAACUUUGUCUGGAGUGAUGCUGCUGAUGCAGCGUUUGAGGAUUUGAAGAAGCAGCUGAUUGUACCGCCAGUGCUCACAUCCCCUAUUGAUAAGGAGCCUUUACUGUUAUAUGUGGCUGCUAAUAGCCGGGCUGUCACUGUUGCCAUUGUGGUGGAAAGGAAGGAAGCAGGAAAGGAGUAUCCGGUUCAAAGGCCGGUUUACUAUAUCAGCGAAAUGCUCAUUGUGUCCAAGCAGAGGUAUCCACACUGGCAGAAACUUGUAUAUGGGGUGUUCUUGGCCAGCUGGAAGCUUAAACAUUAUUUUCUGGGCCAUCCUAUCACUGUGGUAAGCUCUGCUCCUUUGGGAGUUAUCAUCCAAAAUAGAGAAGUAACUAGCCGGGUCGCUAAGUGGGCCAUUGAGCUUGCACCUCAUGGAUUAAAGUAUGUGCCUCACACGGCCAUCAAGUCUCAAGCACUGGUGGACUUCAUCAACGAUUGGACAGAGCUACAGAUGCCUGAGGAAAAGCCGGAUAACACAUAUUGGACUAUUCAUUUGGAUGGGUCCAGGUAGUUGGAAGGCUCGGGGGAUGGAGCUAUUCUCGCUCCCCCUUGAGGUGGUAAAUUUUGCUAUGUUCUUCGUUUGAUGUUUCCUUGUACUAACAACACAGCAAAGUAUGAGGCCUUACUCCACGGUCUUCGGAUGGCCAAGGAAAUGAAUUUAAGCCGGGUUAGGUGCUUUGGCGACUCAGAUUUGGUGGCUCAACAAGUCCCUGGUACUUGGGAUUCUAAGGACCCACUUAUGGCGGCUUAUCGGCGAGAGGUGGACGUCAUUGCUGGUCACUUCAAAGGAUAUCAAGUUGAGCAUGUUGAUCGAAGGAAAAAUGAAGCGGUAGACGCUUUAAGUCGGCUGGGCUCUCAACGUAAGCUGGUGCCACCUAAUGUCUUUCUUGACGUCUUGCAUAACCCGUUAGUUAAGGUUCCUAUAGAGGAGGAUUUGGCUAUUCCUGACCCGAAGGCUCAGUUGGUGGUGGCUCUUCAUGUAAUCCCAUAUUGGAAAGUCCCUUAUUUGGCCUAUAUGACCCGGGGUGAGUUACCUGAGGAUGGGACCUUAGCCAGGAAGAUAACCCGGCGGUCUAAGUCAAUGUCGAUUGUUAAUGGAGAGUUACAUCAUCGCAGUGUCACAGGGGCGUUUCAACAUUGUGUGUCUCCGGAAGAAGGUUGUGAGAUCUUACGAGAAGUUCAUGAAGGAGAUUGUGGUCAUCAUGCCGGUUCAAAGUCCCUUGUGGCUAAAGCUUUCCGUCAUGGGUUUUAUUGGCUAACAGCUUAUGCUGAUGCAGAGGACUUCGUCCGUAGGCGUGAUGGAUGUCAGAAAUUUGCACGACGUACCCAUGUGCCGGCUCAAGAGUUAAGGAUGAUUCCUAUUACUUGGCCAUUUGCAGUUUGGGGGCUCGAUAUGGUUGGGCCUUUUAGAAGAUCCAAGGAUAAGAAGACUCACCUUUUGGUGGUGGUUGAUAAGUUCACUAAGUGGGUAGAGGCAGAGACGGUCAGUAAGUGUGAUGCAGCAACGUCGGUUCAGUUCAUGAAGAAGGCGAUCUUUUGUUUUGGCUUUCCACACAACAUUAUAACAGACAAUGGCACUAAUCUUUCUAAGGGUGCCAUGGAAGAAUUCUGUCAACUUGAGCAUAUCCGGCUUGAUGUGUCAUCAGUGGCUCACCCCCAAUCCAAUGGUCAAGCUGAAAGGGCAAACCAAGAGGUCUUGAAGGGUAUUAAACCCCGGCUUAUGGUCCCGUUAUAGAGGACGCCGGGUUGUUGGGUGGAAUAGUUGCCUUCGGUGCUAUGGAACAUUAACACCACCCCAAAUAGAUACACAUGAUAUACACCUUUCUUCAUGGUUUACGGAGCAGAGGCAGUUCUCCCUAGUGACAUCUGUCAUGACUCGCCUCGGGUGGCGGCUUAUGUGGAAGCAGAUAAUGAAAGAGCAUGUCAAGAGGCACUUGAUCUAUUAGAUGAAGAGCAGGACAUAGCAGCAACUCGUUUGGUGAUUUACCAGCAAGAUAUGCGUCGUUAUCACAGCCGCCGGGUUAAAAUAGAACUUUUCAAGAAGGCGACCUGGUGCUCCGGCUUAUCCAGGAUCAGACUGAUAAUGCACAAGUUAUCCCAACCUUGGUAAGGACCCUUUGUGGUCAGCAAGAAUCUAAACAAUGGGUCAUAUUACCUUAUCGAUGUUCGAGACCACAAGGACUCACACACGUCGGAGGAGGAGACCCGCCGGCCCUGGAAUAUUGCUCAGCUUAGGCCAUACUACACUUGAGCCACAGGCUCUCCUUAUGUACAUAUUUAGACAAUGUAUAUAUUAUGAUUGAUAUAAUAAACCGGCAUCCCUGCUAAAGCAGGGCCUCUGUCACACAUAAACACUAUUCUGAUCAUGGGAUCAGAAUAAUAUUCUGAUCACAACAUGAACUUCCCGAGUUACGCACCUGACCUUCCCCGAGUACUAGGUUGAACUUCAGCUAAAAGGUGUGCAAAUGGGGCUUGCGAUAUACCGUUGGAAAGCUAUGGACAUCAGUAUCAUGACCCAAGUUAAAUUUUUGGCAAAAUGUAAGCGGUUUAAGAGCAGUUUUGAAAACCAUUUUUUCUUCAUACAAAAAACGUGAAUCGUAUUUUCGAUCGCAUUUUUAAACUGUUUAUCUGAAUGAGGCAAAUAAUAUGGCGUUGGAAAGUUGCUGAAAAACCGCUCCUUCCACAUGUUGAAAGUUUUCUCUAAUUCCCUACAGUUAAAGAGUAAUUCGGAAAAUCGUAGAAUUUCACAAAUGGAACACCCGAGUUUGUAUUUUCGAUGCCAUUUCUAAACGACUAAUCCAAUUGAGGCAAAUAAUAUGGUGUUGGAAAGAUUAUGAAAAUGCGCUACUUUUUCAUGUUAAAAGUUUUUUCUAAUUUUGAACGGUUUAAAAGUAAUUUAGAAAACGGUACAACUUCCACCGAGUUCGUAUUUUCGAGCUAAUUUUUUAACCGUACGUCCAAAUGCAGCAAAUAAUAUGGCGUUGGAAAGCUUGAAGAAAUGGAAACUUUUUUGUACAUAUUGUUUCUCCUAAUUCAUUACGGUUUUAUGUUAGUUUUGAAAAUGGCUAAAAACGUAUUUUUGCCGUAAUUUUUACAAACUUUAUCGGAAUGGGGCAAAUAAUAUACCGCUGACGGAAAAUUCAAAACUUUUUCAUGUUGAUGGUUUUCUGUGAUUCCUUUCCGUUUUCAAGUAAUUUCGAAAAUGGCGAGAUCAUUCGUUCUGCCUUUAUCGCGAAACAGAUUCUUCGAAAAUGCACCGUGUGAAGAACCUGAACUUCUCGGCAUGUCUACUUGAACUUCACUCUGUUUUUCACGUGCUUUUUUUGCCCGUUUCUCUCCAUCCAUUGCUCGUAGCUCUCCAUCCACUCACCAGAAUUGAGCAAGUGAUGGAAAUCUGCUGUAAACACGCAACUUUCUCGAGUUGAUCGUUUUUUCAUACUCGCGAUAAUUUUAAAAGUUUUUCAUCUCAAAUUCAUUCACUAUAGUAGUCGAACUUCGUGCUGUUUUCAUGUUGAACUUCUGUGACGUAUUUUCGUUUUUAAUUUUCCCAUCCAUUUCAUCAGUGUUACACAAAUGAUAUUCUCUUUGUACAAACCCCUCUCACAUAGCAAAUAUUGGCAGAGCAGCAACUAUGGAUUUGAGAUGAACAAGUCUCCCAGAGUAUGACAUUAAGGAAGCAAUGCCAGAUAGUCUGUGGUCAAGUCUUGAUACCAUGGGCAUCAAAUCUUCUACUUUAGGUCUUGUAGAUCCCAUUGGUAGACCAAGAUAUGUGAAAGGCAUGGCUUCUUUUUUACAGUUGAAGGUAUUUGCCAGUUCUUGAGCUUUAUCAUCAGUCAUAUUGAUUGGAACCAUAGAAGAUUUACUAUAGUUUACAACAAGCCCAGUGAACUGGCAAAUAAUCUUUCGUUUUUAAGAUUGACUUUGUUAAGGCUUUUGAUAAAGUGAACUACAAGGCUAUCUUAUUCAUGAUGAAACAUCUGGGAUUUAGCAACAAAUGGAUUAGAUGGGUCUCAUCUAUCCUAUCUACUGCUUCUACAUCUGUCAUCCUUAAUAGUGUUCCAGGUAAAUGCAUACAAUGUAAGUGUGGUGUCAGACAAGGAGAUCCUUUUCCCCCUCUUCUAUAUGUUAUGGUUGGAGAAUUGUUGCAAAUCAUGGUUAAUGAUGCUUGGAGAAAUGGAACAUUAUCUUUACCAAUUGAGACUAAUUUUACUGAAUGCUACCCCAUCAUACAAUAUGCUGAUGACACACUGGUCAUCCUGCCAGCCGAUGAGGUACAAAUUAGAAGUUUCAUUGAGAUACUUGACAAUUUCUCAAAAUUCACUGGGCUUGUUGUAAACUAUAGUAAAUCUUCUAUGGUUCCAAUCAAUAUGACUGAUGAUAAAGCUCAAGAAGUGGCAAAUACCUUCAACUAUAAAAAAGAAGCCAUGCCUUUCACAUAUCUUGGUCUACCAAUGGGAUCUACAAGACCUAAAGUAGCAGAUUUGAUGCCCAUGGUAUCAAGACUUGACCACAGACUAUCUGGCAUUGCUUCCUUAAUGUCAUACUCUGGGAGACUUGUUCAUCUCAAAUCCAUAGUUACUGCUCUGCCAAUAUUUUCUAUGUGUUGUAUCAGAGUACCAUUCCCCAUACUGGACCACUUUGAAAAGUCUGGUAGGAAUUUUCUUUGGUAUGGUAAGGAUAUCAACAAAAAAGGAAAUUGUCUUGUCAAAUGGGAUAAUGUUUGCUUUCCAAAAAAGGCAGGGGGCCUAGGUGUGUUAAACCUAAGAGCACAAAACAAAACUCUGCUUAUUAAAUUUCUUUACAAAUUCUUCAACAAGCAUGAUAUUCCCUGGGUUAACCUUAUAUGGAACAAUUACUAUGACAAUGAUGAGGUACCUAGUUUCCCUACCAUGGUGGGAUCCUUUUGGUGGAGAGAUUGUUGCUCUAAUUUGCAAGACUUCAAAAAUAUGACUAUAUGCUAUGCUGGGACUAGUGAUACAAUUAAGCUACGGUUAGAUAAAUGGUGUUCUCAUACAAUAUCACAGUCAAUGCCUCAACUAUUUUCUUAUGCAAAGAAGGCUGACACAACUCUUGCAUCUGUCAACAACAUGGAGGAUAGUGAAUUUUAUGAAUUAUUCCACUUGCCUAUGUCUUCUAUUGCAGUACAACAGAGUAUCAAUCUUAGAGAGUUAAUCCACAACAGAGAGAACAGCAGCUAUCAGAUUCUUGGAAAUUCUAUUGGGGUGACACAAAGUACUCUAAUAAUAGAAUAUACCUUGAACUAAUGGGAAAUCCUGUUGACGCUCCUAAACCCUAUCAAUGGAUGUGGAAAUCAUGCUCACUUCCCAAGCAUAAAUUCUUCUUCUGGCUACUGUUACAAGACAGAUUAAACACUAGAGACCUACUCCACGGGAAGAAUUUCUACAUUGAGACUAGUAAGUGUGAAUUAUGUGAUGAUGAACCUAAUGAACACCUAAUGCAUCUCUUUUUUAGCUGUGAUUUCAGCCAAAUCUUCUGGAUGAACAUUGGUUACCAAUGGAACACUGAUCAUAACCUUAUAGAAUUGCUCUUGAAGGGAAGGAAGCAAGAUACCCAUGGCUGCUUUAAAGAAUGUUUGAUUGCUGGAUGCUGGAGUCUCUGGAAACACAGAAAUAGCAUUAUUUUUUAUCACAAGGUCAAGAAUAUGACAUAUUGCAUUGCCACUUUCAAGGAGCACUUCAGCAUGAUUAUAAAGAAGGCAAAACCUGGAUUGAAGGAGGGCAUGUAAAGCUGGCUAGAUCACUUGUAGACUAUUUAUUAUCUUGUACUACAUCCAUCAUGUAAAUCCAUAUGUAUCUGUUUCCCUCUUAUAAAUGAAAAUGCGAAACACAGUGGGGGUCUUCCCCACUGUUUUUGUCAAAAAAAACCACUCUCACAAUACAUUUUUUAACUUUCUCCGACCGAGGACUUCAAUUUACACAAAUGAUAUUCCUGUUGUUUUGAAGUAAAUUAGAGAAAUGACGAGAUCAUGAUUUAUGCCUUCAUUGCGAAUGGAAACGCACUGCAUGAAGUAGUUGAACUUCUCGGGCAUGUUUGUUUUGACCCUGACUCUGUUUUUGACAUGUUGUUUUUUGCACUUCGUGAAGUAGUUGAACUUCUGGGGCAAGUCUAUUUGAACUUCACUCUGUUUCACUUUAUUGUAUUGUUCUUAUAUGAAAUACACAUCAUGUAGUACAUGAACUUCCGGUUGUUAUCACUUUGAACAUCUCGCUGGUUUGAGAGAAUUAUUUUAAAACACAACAAACAACAUAUUUUUUUAUGUAUUUUGGACAUCUAAAUACACAGUGAACCUCUCUCGCAAGUUUUUUUUGAACUUUUACUCGUCGAGCACUUGAACUUCUAGCAACCUUUUUUUCGUUUAUGAGUUGUUUUUAAAAGUGCAAAAAAUGGCAUUGUGUUUUUUAUUUUUUGAACAGGUAAAUCCUAGGUUUUAAUAAACUCCGAACUUCUUUGUUAUUUCAAUAUGAACUUCCCCUUUUUAUAUUUUGAGUAAAGAAUUGUAUUCGAUUUUUAUACCGGAAAAAUCAAACAUGGAAAUAUAAGGUGAACCUCUCUCACAAGAAUUUUUGAACUUCUCCGGACAGAACACUUGAACUUCUUUUAACAAACCUUUUAAGCUUUUAUUUUUCUAUACUUUUAUUCUCACCGGAAAUGCAUUCCUUGCAGUAAUUGAACUUCUCGUUGUUUCACUAUGAACUUCUGCCACAUUUUUGUGUAUACGUCGAAUUACACGCAAUUGAAGGUUGGACGUCAUUUUUUGCCAUUUUUAAAACAUGUAAUUGGAGGUCAGACGUCCCAUUAUGAACCAUGCACGGAGGUGCAUGUGAACUUCUUGCAACAAAUCUGAGUUUUUUUAUAUACUUCGAACUUCUCUGCUAUUUUAAUUUCAACCUCUUAGUCAUAUUCUUAGAAAAGGAAAUAUGUUUUUAGAUAAGCAUCAAACAUUCUUUUUAAAAAUUGAACUUCAUUGUUUUAUUUUUCAUAGAAACGGUAAUAAUUUGAGUUUCCCAUAUACAUCGAAUUACUCCACUUUUUUAAUUUGAACUUCAUCAUUUUUAUUCUUUAGUAACAAUGAAAAUCCGAGUUUUUUUAUAAAUAUCAAACUUACCUAUUUUUGUAAUUUGGACUUCUUGGUUUAUUCUUUUAGUGACGGCAAAAUCUUAGUUUAGUCCCGUUAUUUAAAUUUCAGCUUCUAGAGUUUUUUAGAAAUGCUGAUAAUCUCAUUUUUUUAUGAUUUUUUGAACUGCUCUAUGUUUAAAAUUCAAACUUCUUAUUUUUAUUACAAGCGGUGAAAUAUCCGUUUCAAAUUGCUCUCUUAUUUUUGUACUAUUGUGUUAUUUUUGUGUGAACUUCUUAUGUUCUUCCCGUCAACAGAUUCAAAUUUUCCAUUUUUUAUACAUUGAAAUAUUGCUUUAUUUUAUUUUGAACUUCUUGAUUCCAUUCUUUAAUAACAAGGAAAAUCAUAGGUUCUAUAAUUAUCAAACUUCUCCAUAGUUUUAAUUUGGACUUCUUGGUUUUAUUUCUUGUAGUAGAAAAAAAAUUCUAGUCUUGUAAUAAACAUCAAACCACUUUAAUAAUGGAACAUUUCGUAGGAUUUUUGCAAAGAGUAAAAUCUGAGUUUUUAUAAACAUCAUACCACUCCAUUUUUUUAAAUUUGGGCUUCUUGGUUUUAGAGAAUAAGUAAAGUUUGAACUACUCAUUUUAUUAAAGUUGAACUUCUGAGUUUUCUUUUUUGUUAUGAUUGGGGAAAAUAAAAACUAAACAUUUUUUCGCACACAUCUAACCAUUGUUGUAUUUGAUAAUUCUUUUACAUGAGACCAUCCGAAUUUAUUCAUGUACAAACUUUAUUUUUGCAUUUCUAUUUUGACCUUUUUGCAAAUAUCUUAUAUGAACAUUCUUUGGGCAUCUUUAACGCACUUAUGGACGUGCACUUUUCAAGAACUAUUAAUUUUGGACUCUCACGCAUGAUGAAAUAUAACUACAAUGAUGUGGGUGUUUUUAUUUAAUUUUAUUGCUUUGAAAUAUCUUUUUCUUUUAGGUAAAAUAGGAAACAACAAUUUAACGUGGCUCACAGUUGCUUUUUUUACUUUGUAUAUCUUGGAUGUAUUUCUAGAACAAAAAUCAUAGUUGCUUUAACUUUUAAUAAUAUUACUUCGCCUUUUUCUUGAUGGGAGACGUACUUAGAUACAUUUUGUUUUGAACAAACAAUUCAUGAACUAUCUCAAACUUGACCUUCUCGAACACAAUUUCUUGGCCUUAGGAAAAUAAAUAAAAAAUAGAAAAAUACAUGGUUGUACAAGCAUAAAAAAUAGAUCGAUUUCUUUGUAUUCUCUUUUAUAUGCCUAUAGAAAUACUCAUCAUCCCCUAGGGGCGAUGCACAUGUUUCUGAGAUUGCAGAAACACCGAAAAAUAAAAACCGGUCGCUCCAUCUAACCCCUCCGAGCGUCCCACCCUCCCUUCCGCACCACCUCUCCCCCGAUCCUCCCGACCACCUCCGUAACGAUGACAUAACAAGGAUGGAAAAUGAUAUAUCUAUAGGAAGACCAUCUACAGAAAAGCCACAUCAUAAUCUUUAACCAUGGACAACAAGUUCAAACACAAAACCAAGGACUAUAGUAGCUAAACUCUCGCAGAAAUCUCUCUCUAGCAUUCUAGUUGAACUUGAACAGUAGCACACCAACAUUAGCUAGAGGGCGAGGUAGGACACAACAACAGCAGCUAGCAGCGAACACCAAAUGGAGGCUGGGUCGUGACGGUGGCACUGAGAUGGAGAAGGUGCAGGGCAUGGCAGGCAAAAAUAACUGUGAUUGAAAAGUCUUAAUUAGGUAGGUAGGCGUUACAAGAAAAAAAAAUAGCAAGUACAUCAAGUUUUAGUGCCUCUUUCACACAUAGAUGUGCAACAAAAUUGGCAUUCCUUCUUAUAUAGAUGAACUUGAACCCCUGGAAACUUGUGAGAUACGAAUGCAUCUCUCGAAAGCCAUCGACCGCCUCAGAAAAAGACUUGGAAUCCUUUGACAUCAUGCAUCAAACUUGGCCUUUAGUCUCAAUAACAUUAUUUCAUAAUCCUUUUUCAAUCACGAUCAACAUGGUUGUCCCUGCGAGCCAACUAUCGGCUUUACGAUUAUGAAAAUACUAGAUUUUGGCAAAUGUGUACGAGCUACUGAAGAAAUUGAAGAUAGUUGCAAACAAUAUACGAGCUACAACCUAACAAUUUGCAAGCGCUUGAGUGAAGGCAACACCUUUGUUCUUCUUGAACUUCUCAUUUUUCUUAUUCUGAACUUGAUGUUGUUAUUUUUUUUGCAACUGCCAGUGCCGGGAGGCCGGCUUCGCUCCGUCAGGUAGCCGCGUCCACCUCCUCACAGGAUAGCGAGCAGGGGAGGAAGGAGAGAUAGACCUGGCAGCAAGCGGGGGAGGAGCCGGAGUAGCGCUACAUCAGGGAUGCAGGGUGAACCUGAACCUGAAGUACAUAACACACAUGAAAAACACUCUUAAGUAAUCCAAGCCCUAUCAAUUAGCAAGCAAGGACUAAGCUAGAAAGGAAAAUGAACACACAAAACUAGUACUGGUGCACUAAGACAUUUUAGCCAACAUUUUGCGUGCACACACAAAAACUAGAGAAGUGGAGAGUGAAGAAGCAGAGAGGAGGCACAAUGGGUAGGGAACCUGCAGUGCUGCAUCCGCAUUCAGGGAUGGGUCGGGGACGAAGGAGCUUGCUGGAGCAGCACCCACCACCCCAUGCACGCAAAGUUGGAGCUGGUUGAGAUGAUAUGCGUCCUGGAAGAGUCGCCCUGCUGUUGUGGCACGACUUGGACUGCAGCGACCCACACAAUUUUUGUUGAUGCAUACACAAUGGAGGAGAUGAGCUUCGAUUAGCGUCAAUUAGCGCGCACACAUCUGGCGAGCACAGCGGCCCCGAUCCCGGGAGUGGUGGCCCGACGGCGGUGAACAGCCAGUGCUUUGCAGGGCGGGUCCCGGCUGCGGUGCACUAUGGGGUUCGUGCGGGAGGAUGCAAGGCCGGCCCCCUCCUCACAAGGCAGCGCCCUGCCGGGAGCCAUGGCUGUGACAGGGAUGAGCAAGAUGUUGAGAUCCAUCUUACCUCGCACGACGGUGGCGAAUGACUACAACUGGAGUCAUUGGACUGCAAUGGUGGGGUUGAGCUGGAGGAUGCAAUGGCGGCGGCGACAUGCACAUCAAUGCCGAGCAAAAUAAUGUGCCCAUUUUUGUUUUCCUGCAUUAGAAAAUGUUUUGCAAGAGAUUCCAGAUGCUACAACUAGUUCUCAUUAAAUUGGAGGAUACAAAAUCAAAUUCCCAAUACAAAUACAUUUUUAAUCUGGAACUAACAGAGGUUACAACAGAGAACAAUCCCUGGUUUCUCAAAUUGGAAUUCAUGCCCUUUUUAUGUCAUCGUUACAAACUAGACUUCUUUUUUUUCUAAUAAGAACACACACUAUAAAGGAAAAAUAGAAAUUUCUUUUGCCAUCCUUGGUGGAGCACAUAACGGCAGGUGCAACAAGUUCAGAGUGUGCAAGUAGAAAGGAAGAGGUUCGGAGAAAAAGACUGACACUUGGUCAUGCUGCGGAGGCGUCCUAUAGUCCAUACUUGUCUGGAGCAGCAGUAAUGAGGACACAACU